This 73105-nucleotide long non-coding RNA is filed under the name Solanum tuberosum (potato). RNAcentral describes it as "long non-coding RNA (STUB_LNC009538)". Lineage: Eukaryota; Viridiplantae; Streptophyta; Magnoliopsida; Solanales; Solanaceae. The record is from RNAcentral.
CCAGAAAAAUUAAGAUUUAAAGAUGAGUUAAAAGUAAAUUUUUUGUCCCUUGCACUUGCCUGAAUUAGUUGGUACUUGGUAGUAGGGUCAAAAUAAUCUUCUCCCCAAAGACAAUAAUUGCAGCAACAAUUGGAAGAGAUCAAAAGAAAUUAACAGCAAGCAAAGAGACUUCUAAUAAAGCAUAAAACAGAUUAAGGUUUUUUUUUUUUUUUUGUGUGCGUGUGUGUGAGAGAGAUGAGAAGUAUGGUCAAUAAGGCAGUUGUUGUUAAACGCGACAGUCGUGAGUUAUCACAUUGGAACUUUGAAAGAGGAGAUUUAUGUAUCAGCAAGGAACAUAUAAAGCUAACAUAUUUCAACAUGGUUUAGAAGUUCAGCAUAUUCCUACUUCUCAUACAGGUGCAAUGGCUUUCUAUUAAGUUGGUCAGUAGAAAACUUUGCCUUAGGCUUUCCUCUUCUCCAAGAAAGACCUAUACAGAUUUUUCUCUUUUGCCCCUCUAAGAAACUAAAGUUUGAUUUUUUUACCCUGUUCUCCCACCUGCAGCUUGACCAUUCUCUUCAAAGCAAGAACAUUGUUCGGUCAUUGUAGGUAGAGCAUUGAUAUCUUUGAAAACUUUCAAGAGAUACAAGUUCGAAGGAGACAUACCAAAAGAAUUCCCAAAUUCUCCUCCGCAGAAGCUUGACCAUUUCGAUGAUUCUGCAAAACGAAUGACAUAGCAUAGACCGAAUAAUCAAAACAAGGUAAAACACAAAAGGUGCAUUGGUAGCAACUAGUUUUACAUGACAAUUAGCACAUCAUAACAAUAACCCCACGGGUUAAGUUGAUUUUGAAGUAUCAAAGAGUGUUGCUCAAAAGACUCGACCUUUCCUCCUUUUUACAGUAGUUAAUACAGAAGUGAUGAACAGUACAAAUUUGGUCAAACCAAAAACAGAAGCCUAGACAAUCUUUUCCCGAUGGAUGAAGUAUCAAAGACAAAGGAAAUAGCAAUUAGAACAGACAUCCAUAGUACCUCAAAUCUCCAUUCCUUCCCCAUCUCAACUUAUGUUCUCUAUCAGAUAUAAUUAAGUUUUCCAAACCUUAAUCGACAAACUGACAAAAGAGGCCAAUGCUAUUUGAUCAUAUUAAAGAUAACAUGCUUGAGUUGUCUCAUCUCAAAAACUUGUUUUAAUCCAUACUCCUUCAAUCCCAGAUAGAACUUCCACCUUUCUUUUAUGUGAAAAAAGAGCCGCAGAAAUAUCCUGCCAUGUGUAUUUGGCAAGUGAAAGGCUAGCACCAGUGAAACAUAAAGUGUAACAGAAACAAGAGGGUCCUUUUCUAAGUGAGACAUAAAGUGCAACAGUAACAAGAGGGUCCUUUUCUAAGUGAGAAUAAUUAGGACUGCCAUAAAACUAAUAUUUCACUUAGUUACACUACUAUUUCACUCGAUUAACUAAUUGUGAGACAUUAAGUCUUAUUUUUAAACACAAAUACAUGACCAGUUAUAAUUUACCAGUCACACUAUUAGAACAUAUGAUUGAGUUGACUCACCUGCAACAUUGCUAUGAGCAUUACAAGCAAUGCAUAGGAUCCAAUCCCACCAGUAUAAACCUGCAACACAAGAAGACAAUAAGUCAAAGCAGAAAAGAUUGAAACCUUAAACCAGCAAGCAACAUUAACAUGUUUCUACGCAUGUCUUUGCUGAGACUUAGCAACUUGGAUUAUUCUGUUUUUACACAUGUCUCUGCAGACAGUUAGCAACUUGGAUAUAUCAGAAGACAUUAGGAAUGCUUUACCUCAUUUAACUCUCUCUGUUGCAAGAACACUUUCAAAAUCAAGCAUAAUGGUCGCAGAGGGGGCCAGCUAGACAUGGCAUCCUAUAAAAGUUUGCAAAAACAAUAACAUCAGACACAGUUAAUUUCUACAUCACUGGAUUUUCACUGUUCAGCGAGUGGAAACGUCAGCACAAACCUUAAUAAAUUCAGCAGCUUUGGGUCCAUUUUCCACAUCAAAGCUGUCGCCACAGAACAGAAAAUUAGAGGUAUAAAGUUAACUAGAUACAGAACACAAAUGCUCUUCAGUCAAUAUCAGACUUAGUCAUUUGGGUUCAAAAGGAUGGCAGUCUUGUUUGCAUAGUAAGUACUUGGCUGAACUUCAGAGGAAGCUGAUAUAAAACAAUAAGGUAUAUCAAAGUGAUUUCAAGUUACCAAGAGUGAAAUGAGUCAUCAUAGGUUUUUUCUCUAACUUCCAAGAAGUGCAGAAGGAGAGAAAUUGGUCAACUCCUCAUUUAAUUUUGUUGGCUUGUUAAGACAAGGACUAAAUUCUAAACUAAUAUGGACAAAUUAACAAUCAAAUGCACCAGGUGAGAAACUCAAACCAAAAAAAAGGGAACAUAAGAACAGGAUUAGGUCAAAACACAAAAAAUGAAGUACAUCAUAAAAUCAGUGGAAUUAUUUGAAUUGGAUAAUGAACUGAAACCAGAAACCAAGUAUGGAGAAGCUGAAAGAAAAACAUAAACUCUCCUUAUGCACAGUUGCACACUAUCCACUGAUCAACAAGUAGGGGCAAGACAAUUCGAAGCAAGAGACUAAAUGGAAUAAGUUCUAGCAAAUGCAAUACAUAGCCUUUUUAGCUAUGAUUUCGGGAUAAAGACUAGCCAAAUAAACAUCAGCAAUAUGGAACUAUCUUCUACAAACUCAUAAUAUUGCCAGAAUCCCAUAGGCAUAAUAAAACCUUAUAUUGGCCGCUAAGAAGAAUCGAACCUUAUGUCAAAUGAAAUGCCACUUUUCUUCUCCACAAAUUUUAUUAUUGGCACACGAGCCUUUGAAAUCACCUGAUUCAGAGAAGUACAUGAAAAUUCCAGAUUAUAAGUUCUCUUUGCAGAAACCUAUCACGGGGGUUAGGGGGGAGAAAACAAAAGAAAAUGUUCCUCAUAGAGAGAUCACAGGGCCACGUUAUGCACCUGUAUCUUCUUCGCAACUCCUUUCUGUGAGAGAGCUCUGGAAAGAGCUUGUAACCCAAUUUGAGGACUUCUAAUUUCUGACCCUAAAAUCACCAGCUGUAUUUCAAAGAGUAGCUCAUUACUUUUAUUGUAACUUGAAUCAUUUUUGCUUCUACACCACAAUCAACCAACAAAUAAUAUAUGUCUGUGAAAAGAUCUGCAUUGCAGACAAAGAAAGUCUACAAUCUUAAACACAUUUACAACAUAGUAACCACCACAAUAUAGUAUCACGCUCCAGAAGUAUUUUGUCAAUAAGAAACUGUGUUUUCUUUUAUAAAAAAACGCAUUCUCUUUUGUUGGGUACGACAACAUUUACAGGUCCAACAUCAUAGAACAAGUGAUCAAGUACAGGAUGUCCAGGUUAGCAUGAUGCUUUUUGUAGCAUGUUACGGAGGAUCUGUAAACCUAAGUACCUAACUACAUCAGUAUUGAGGGGUAGGCGUUGUUGUUUGUGGAUAAAUAAGGUAUUGAAUGACAGUGUUAUUAUUAAUUAUUAAAACACGGAUUUCAAUUUAGCUCAACUUUUGAGCAGAAGUUGCAGCACUUUAAUGAGAAACUUUAAGGAAAAUAUAUUGUUACCGAGAAAGAAAAUCCAAAAUUAACUUGAAAAAAAAAAGAGUAAUCUUACAUCAACAUCACUAGUGGGAAGAUAAAGCCCUGUCUUGAAUGAUCCGAAAACCUCUGGCUGGAAAAAAAAAUUAAAAAGAACUUUAACACAGUGAAGCCAUUAGCUUUGUACAUCACAAGCAUAAUGUGCUAUAUAAGGAUGGAAUGGAAUGGAAAUGGGAAUGGCAAGUGUGAGCACACACCUUGCAGUUGGGCCAGAUAUAUUUAAUAACAUUAAAAACACAUUCUAUUGCUUCAUUACGAGAUGCUUGCUCCUCCAGUGUAGGUGAUAAAAACUCACAAAAAUCUAUUAUCUCUGCAAAUAUCACACACAGCAAGUUUAAGCAAAUUCAGCUGCAAAGCUGUAAGGUAAAAAAUAUGAACUUUCUAUAUAAGUAAGUAAAUUUAAAUAUGCACACACAAUAACACAUGCAUAUGUCUGUGUUUAUACUGUAAAUGCAUAUAUACAUAAUCCAGAAGCUGAUUCAAAAUUUAAAUUUUGUGAGCUCUACAUCGAUUUCAAGUUAAUAUACAAUAAUAACUAGGUUCACAAUCAAAUAUUUACAGAAUAGUUUAAUAGAUAUAUAAAAAUUUGAGCAAAAGCUGAUGGAUCCGCCUGAGCAAGUUUAGAGCAAAUUUAGCUUCUAAGAAGAAGAAUAUCAUACAUCAUCACCAGAAGAACAACGAAAACCAACACAACGUAGCUUUACCUUGGUGAAGCUGGAGCAUGGGACUCUUAAACCGACAAUUAGCACGAAACCAAUUGCCUUCAAGUCCUCUCUCUACUUCCUUAUCCGGCAAAGGAGUAGCAGCUGGUACCGGUGUCGAAACAGAGCUGGUAUUCAGGUCGGCGGCGUCUCCAUCGAGGUCGAGUGAAAAGUAAUCAGGCGCGGCAGUUUCCGGUGAGGGACACUGGAUAGUUGAUAGUGAAAUCUGGUUCCGGAAUACAACGUAGGGUUCAUGUUCGUCGGAGGACGACAACGACGGAGGAAAGUCGUCGGUGGCGGUGGUGGUGGUGCCGGCGGCGGAGAGUGGGCGGAGAGUUUCGUACAAAAUGCCAUCAACUUCCAUUGGUACUGAAAUCCGCACAAUGUGUCUCACAACAUUACGGUCGUGGAAUUAACUUGGACUGAUUUAGGGCUUUACUAUUGUUUUCUUUUCUAUUUUUCCUUUUAUUAAUUCGAAUUCACGUUGGAUAAAGGAUAAUAAAAAUAUUAUCGAAGCAAAUUUAGGCAAGUUGGGAAUUAUCUUGAAUUGCUUCGUGAUAAAACUAACUCAUAAAAAUAUAAUUUGUCCAAUGGCUAGAAAACCUAAAUCUAGUUUAGCACUUUGUUUUUAGGUGAGUUAGUAAAAAUUGAGAGGAUGAACUAUAACACAUUGUUUUAGCGAGUUAUUAAAAAAAUUGACGUGAUGAACUAUAACACAUUAUUUUAGCAAAUUAGUAAUAGAAUUGACGUGGUGAACUAUAACACAUUGUUUUAGCGAGUUAGUCACAAAAUUGACGAGAUCAACUUGAACACAUUGUUUUAGCGAGUUAGUAACAAAACUAACGGGAUGAACUAUAACACAUUGUUUUAGCUCAUCUCAAUAACACUCGACCUUGAUUAAUAAUCGAUCUAUUUAAUAAUUCAACUAAUUUUAACUCAUUUAUGAAUUUGACACCUCUAGCUUUGGGCGGAAGGGAGCUUUCCCCCUUAAAUAGGUUUGAUGUAGUGCAAAUCUGAAUUAAUCGAGUCAGUUAAUUUCACAUACUAGAUCAUUAUGCAAAGAGAAAGAGAGAAGAAGAAUAAUAAAGCCUAUAUAAAUUGUAGUAGAUGUAUCUAUACAUAUGAUAAACCAGAUGAACAAAUCAUUCAUCAUUCUCUAAUGAGCUCUACUUUUGCUGUUUAUGAACUCAUAAAAACAGUUAAGGAAACUCUGAACAAAAGCUAGAAAGAGCACUAAUAUGAAGCUAAUAAUGUACUAGUAUAUUUUACCCAAUUAAAGUUGAACUAGUUGGGCAACAUUAGUCUCAAUUCACCUAUUGUCAAAAUCCAAUGUCAGCAUGGUCUCAACUGAAGAAAUAAUUCGCGGUGUUUGCAGGAACAACAGGCGCUACUCCAGUCCCUCUCUGUGCCAAGUAAAGAAAUUUGUCGCAAUCCUUUACGCCAAUCUCCUUAAAUGCAUCUAUAACUGUCUUGAUGAAUCCGGCCAAAGAAGCCUUGAAAGUUGGUGAGCAGCUUUUGUCGCCCUCAUCAACAUCCUGAACACCACCCCGGACAAGGCUACCUACUUGAGCACCAUCUGUGUAUGCUUUACAUGCCACAAGAAUAUCUUGAGCACUUCGAAAGAAAUGCCCUAAUACAAAAUCUUCAAAAUACUGCAGCAAGAAGCGCAUUUGGAAUUAGUAGUUGAUUUAGAACCACAAGUGUGAAUGAAGUCAAGAAAUAGUCAUGAAGCAUAACAAUACAACCUAUUUUGGUAAUAUAUGGUUAAGAACCAUUGACGACGAUCACAGCAGGCAAAGAACAAAAGAAAAUAUGGAUACCUUUGGUGGACGCCUCAUGGAGAAGACCAUCGUUUUCAGAUUUAAAAUGUAAGUGUUCUCAUUAUACUGCAGUGAGCUUGCAUCUCCUCUGGUUGUCCCGCCUGUGUUUGCAUAACCGGGCUCAUUGAAAUAGGGUUUUGCAUUUAAAAUUAGCCCCUGUAUAGACACCAAGACUUGUAACAUAGUAGAUGCACGAGGGAUCCAUUUCUCCUUCCCUUGGCCAGUCCAAGUGUUAAGUAAACUCAGGCAGACUUUUCCACAGUUAUACAAAUUAGGAUUGAUUCGAAGGCCAAAGGAAUGGUAGUGCACAAGCUGGAAACAAUAGGUAGGGAGGUGUUAGGCUAAAGGUCGAACGGAUAAAGCAGUACAGGCCUCAGAGACAAAGCGAGAUACAUACCGGGGGGACACUGGGAUAGUUGCUUGGAAAGAAAACAUCAAAGAAGUAAAGGCCAUCAUGAUAUGGAGUUCCAUCAGCACCCAUGAUAACUGCUCUUAACAGAUCCAUUCUUGAUUCGUACACCCUGACAAAUAUUGUAUCUGCUCAAUAAAAGACAACAAGAUGAGUGCAUGAUUAAGAAAAUUGCAAAAAACAUGUGUUAUAACUAAUGGAAGGCUGCACCCAAGGGUGUGGCCAAGUGGUCAAUGAAGCGGGAUGACAACCAUGAGGUCUCAGGUUCAAAUCCCCGCGGAGACAAAAAAACAAUAGGUGAUUUCUUCCCAUAUAUCCUAGCCUUGGUAGAUAGAAAUGAAAGGCUGAGAUAUUCAGACUUCCCUGACUAAACAGAAUUUCUAGGCCUUUGUAUGUUUAAAUUUCAAAGGCUCGAUGAAAAAAGAAAAUCACACAUCAUGUGAAACUUUGCUUGUAUACCAGGCAGAUCGUUCUCCAGUAUCUUCCAUUCCUCCUGUAUUUUCUUGGCCCAAUUCUUAGAAGGCUGCAAUAGAAUAGAUAUAUCAUAAGAUAAUGAAGCCAAAACUAGUUGAAGUUAUUUGAAAUUUUUUACUUGGGAUAAACUAACCAGGUUCCCUGAAGAAGCCUGUCGAGAAUAGAAAUGGUCUGAAUGAUCCUCAACAGUAUCAAAUUUUUUGAAAACUUGGAAUUUCUUCAGAAUUUCAGCUAAAUUUCUAUGUUGCUCUCCAUUACAAGCCGGUCCUGAAGGAAUUGAAGGACAUCCUGCAGUUGUUGCCCUUUUAUGCAAACUCAGGGGGGAAUAGUUCAUCAUAGCAGCUGAUGCAUGAGCAAUUCCUGCUGAAAUUGGAGUGGUUUGAUUAAGAAAUAAAUUCUUCAUAUCAGACACUGGAGAUCCCACGGGAUUUGGAAAAUAAGGCCCAAUAGGAGUAGAUUGGUUGCCCGAACCAUAAGAGGUUGUAGCACCGGAUGAACCUAAUUUCUUUCCAUAAUGAGAUAAUGACUCUUCAUACAAUUUAUAUGGGUUAUUCCAAUCAAAAGAGGCUGUAGCACCGGAUGAAUGGAUUUUCUUUCUAAUAUUGGAAAACUUUUUUUCUGCCCCAGAUGAGAGGAUCUUUGAAUUACUUGCUCCCUUAGAACUCUUCUCAUUCGAAUUUCCAAUAACUAAUUGUCCCUCCUUGCCUAAAGCAGGUCCUGGGGAUGACCAAGAUGACCCAAACUGUGUAGGCUGGCCAACGAGAGUAGAGCUGCUAAAUGAAGUGGACUGGUCCCUUACUACCCCAGAGACAUCUCUUCCUGAAGUACUUGUAGUGGUUGACACCAUUUGUUCUUUCAUGGGACCAGGCAUCCAUGGGAUUGGAGCCUCAACUCCAGGGGGGAUAUCCAUGCUAUCAAAAUGUGCUUGUAAAACAGCAUAGUCGGAAUACACUAAAUCAUCAUAAUACAUGUCCAUGUUCUCAUCAGCACCGAAUAGUACAUCAGAACCAAACUCGUCUAUAAUAAUUGGACUAUUAGAUACUGAAAGGCAAUUCUUCUUCUUUUUUGAUGACGAAAGGCAUUUCGUAUUUGAAGACUGAACCCCAUCUACUGGUCCACUAUUACCCGAGCUACCAUUUCCAACCAAAAUAUCCUGCAAGAGAUGUGAUUGACAAAAUUAGACCUCCAAAAAAGGACAGCAUAGAAGACGAACAAGAAAAGAACCAGUAUUUUGACAAGAGGGCAUUGGCAAUCUCUGAUUACCUUCCCCUUGCCACUAAAUUUUACAUUUCCACAAGAGCGCUUAACAUCACUAAAAUCUUCUUCGUCAACAUCUAUUAUUUCAUGGAAAAUAACCUACAAAGAAUACAUCAGCACUACUAGUGUCAGGGCCAACAAUAAUGUUACAAGGAAAGAGAAUCAAGUCAAAACAACAAUGCUUGUCUUGUCAAUAAAACCAAACUUCCAACAGAAUCUCCUGCAAAUUUGGACUAAAAGGCAUACAUACACACAAGCAAUAAACAGAAAAGAUAUCAAAAGAGGUUAGCUAAUCUGAAGGACUCUAGUCCUUCCUCCAUUUUCUAUUUUCCUGAAGAGGCACUCUCAUACAUAUCAAAAGAUUUCUACCGUAGGAAAAAUAAACUUCUAUUCAGUUGAAAGGAAGAAAAUAUAUCCAGAUAUAUCUAGCUUUUGCUCACAUAAAGGAGAGCGAAAUCUAGCUGAAUGUAUUAUGUUGCAUAUGUGUUAAGAGGAUUAUGGUAAUGCCAAACUAAUCUGUAGAUAAGUUCAAAUUAACUUUUACAAAGAAAAUAUUUGAAAAAUAGUACAAGAGCAUGUUGAGGACAGGGUAAGUAAAUGCCUGAACAUAUUUUUUGGACCAACUUACACUAACUUCAACUAAUUUACCGGUACCUACUACCUCCUACUAGAAUGAAGUACCAAGGAACCUUUUUUUAAUAACUAUGCUGUCCGGGUCAAUUUGCACACACCUCAACCAAUUCCACAAGAUACAUGUCACCCCUCACCAGCAUCAAGUAUCGGAUAACUCUGUCCACCAAGGCUAGGAUAGAUGAGAAGAAAUCACCUAGUGAUUUUGUCUCAAUUGGGAUUUGAACCUAAGACAUCAUAAUUCUCAACUCACUUUAUUGACCACUAGGCCACACCCUUGGGUGCCAAAGUACCAAGUAACUAUGUAAAAGAUUUAUAUAAAUAGGAAGAAAUCACUUUGUGUUUCUUCAGAUUUUGAAUAAUCGAUUUCCCCUGGUUCAGUUUUUUUUCAUUGACAACUAGUCUACACCCUUGGAUGCAAAUGCCUAAGCACUUUAUUCUCAUUGUUUUGAUAAAAUAAUAAUUUAUUGAUGUGAGGAAAAACUCCCAUAUACAAGUGGUACAUAAAAAAGUAAGGAGCCCAUAAGUCCUUGGAUAUCUCCCAUAUUGGUUACAGAAUUCUUUUGCUCCAACAUCGGUUACUUGUUUUGGUUCCAAUAGUAUUAAGUUCUGAAUAAUCUGAAUUUCAUACGAGGAAUACAUCUGUUACACCUUCAAAUAUCCUACUAUUCCUUUCUACCUGGAAAUCCAAUGGUAUAUACAACGGAUAGUACUCCAUACUCAGACGUGUUCACUAUGGCGUAAACUAGAGUCUUGAACAUUGGUGAAAAUAAGUGAGAAAAUUAAACAUCAAUAGGACCAUACAAAAGUUGGACUGACAUAGAAGUUUCUGCCAGAAAAUCUUUGAUUUCUUGGGAGGGACAGUGGGAGAUAAAAUGACAUGGAGCUGACGUUAACACACUUCAUUUGACUGCUCUAAUAAAAAGAAACAUAAAUUCUCUGCAUAGCCAAAAGUUCUGAAAAUGCAAAUUCACUGUCAUGUGCAAUUACCACCAAAUAAGCCAAGAAAAAAUAGUAAACUGUACAUUGGGGGUAAAAUGUGUAUCAGCAAGAUGAUUCAAAGAGGUCAUUAACAUAUAUUAUAGCUGAAAGUGCGCAAGCUAAAGGUAAUCAAUCAAUUCAGAAACAAAAGAAAAAUGCAAAAAGAUAGAAUCAUGGUACAAAGUACAUAAUUUUAUACCUCCUUUUGCUUAGGAGUUUUUGAUUUCGAACUCCAAUUGGUAGGUCGCGAAAUUUCCACUACCUCAACAUCAAUUGCACUUCCACCUGGAAACAUUCUUUUCCUGUGCAUCAAUAGUACCAUCACAAAUCACAGAGAAAAUGCUUAAAUAAAGACAAAAACAAGAAAAUGAUCAACUGGUCUGUUAUUAACUUGUAACAAUACAUCAUCAAUAUCACAGACACAUAAACACUUAAAAGAUAACAAGAAAAUCAUCAAUUAUGUACUUUGAAUUCAAUAACAUCAAAAUCAUAGACCCCCAAAACAUGUACCACAACAACAACAACAACAUACCCAGUGUAUAUCGAUAUACACAAACCUUACCUCUACCUUGCGGAGGUAGAGAAACAACUCUCGGCUUCCCCAAAUACUUGGACAUUCUUUUUCAAUACCAUCAAAUCAACAAAACUAUCCCAAUUAUACUUAAAAGAGUUCUUUUUCCUUUUCACAACAAAACAAUACAAUCAUCAACCUUAAGAACACCAUAAUAACAUCUCAAAAGUGCAUAAACCCACACACCCUCGUUAUAAUUCUCUUUUUCCCCCCUAAAAACAGAGAAAAUCAUCAACUGGGUCAUCUCUUUUUUCUCUUUUUUAACAACCGUGGUAUCCAGACCAACUUUCAUCCCCCACUAUCAACUCGACUAAUUCUACGAUACCCAACACACCCCAUCAUCAAAAGGGUCAUCUUUUUACACUUCCAUUUGAAAAUCAAUACAAUCAAAAAUCAAAAAAAGAUACUUUCACCAUCAACUCGACUAAUUCUACAGAUACCCAUCACAUCCCAUCAUCAAAAGAGUAAUCUUUUCACACUUUCAUUUGAAAAUCAAUACAAUCAAAAAAAACUUUCUGAACAAAUCAAGACAAGAAAAGAAAAUGAUCAACUGGGGUUUGUGCUAUUUACUUGGAAUUCUCAGAAACGUAUGUUGCUACUUGUUUAUGAGUCUCCAUGGAUCGAUUUUGCAGAGAAUUGAAAGAGGCGAUUUAGGUCUGGCCUGUUAAAUUCCACAGGUUUUCUUCGAUGAAAUUGAAAAAUCUUCCAUAUAUAUAUAUACAGAAAAAUGUAUUGCUAUGUUCCGUCUCUUCAGUGGAUUCUAUAUUUAAAAAAUUACUCUCACAAAGAAACCAAAAAAAAUAUAUUGUGAAACUUUUUGGUUCCAAUAAGUUAAAGACUUUAUGACUCAUUCUUCCCGCCUGGCCAAGUUGAUAAUGGACGGAAUUUUGAGUCCCAGGAUUUAUUAGAAUUUUUUUUUUGAUUUUAUAAAGUAGGAAUAAGGUUAGUGUAUGUAUUAUUUUUUUAGUCUUUAUUUGUAGGAUUACGUUGGUUUGUUAUUUUUUUAUUGUGUUUUAUUUUUCAUGAUAUUAAGUUUUCGUGCAUUUGGACUAAUUUAAUGUAAUAUCUACUUUCUUCAAUCAACAAUAAGUAUCAGGUAGUUUUGUUCACUAAAACUGUGAUAAUAGAAAGGAUUGCCUAAAUUUCAUUUUUUUUUAAUUUUAGAACAAGAUUUUGAGUCGAGGAUUUACUCGAAACAGUUUUUCUAUUUCAUAAAGUAGGAAUAAGGUUAGUGUAUGUUUCUUUUUUUUAUUAUUCAGAUUAUAUUUGUAUGUUAGUUUUGUUGUAUGUGUUUUUGUAUUGUGGUGUACGGACUAGAUUUUCGCGCACUUUGACUCAUCCAGAUUUACCUCCUCCCACCGGUAAUAAACAUCAAAUAACUAUAUCUAUUAAGACUAGAACAGAUUGAAAAAAAAUCACCUAAGAUUUUGUGUGACAAAAUUCAUUUAAAUCAAUUUUUUUUAAUCAAAUACACACUUUAUUUGGUUGUUGAUAAAUAUGUAAACUUUAUUUUGGGGUGAAAGUUGUUUUUUUUUUAAAGUUAGUUCGACUCUUAAUAUUAUAUUACAAUUUAACUAAUAGUUAAAUAAUAUUACUAUCAAUUUUUAAAUAUUAAAUAAAGAAAUUCUGUAAACUAUUUUCUGACUCAUUGACCAAACAUAGGAAUACAUUUUUUGCUAGUUCUUUCUUUUUCCUUUUUGGCAAGAUAUUUUUUUUAAAAAAUGGCUUUCGGCAUAUUAAAUAGUACACUUUUAAUGUAAGGGAAAAAGGACAAAUAUAUUCCCGAAUUAUCGUAAAUGAUAUGCAGAUACUCUCCAUCAUACUUUUGGGACAUUGGUGCCCCUGCCGUCAAAAAACUAGAGCAUAUAUGCCCUUCACUCUAACGGAAGACUAAAAAAGGACACGUGGCACAAUCUUAUUCGUCGAUCUGAUAUUUAAUAAAUGUCGGGUCGAUGGAUAAGAUUAUGACACGUGUAUGUCCGUUAGAAUAAAGGGUACAUAUGCUCUAGUUUUUGGACGUCAGGGGCACCAAUGUCCCAAAAAUAUAGAGGAGGAUAUAUACAUACCAUUUACGAUAGUUCGAGAGUAUAUUUGUUCUUUUUCCCUUAAUGUAAUAUUAUCUCAAUCAGAUUACUUAUUAUAAAUAUUUUCUAAUCUCAGAAAAGUAUUUUCAGACUCAUUAAUGAAAAGUUGAAAAAAGGUCUUCUUUUUGUUUAAUAUCAUUUUUGAAAAAAUAGAUUUGUCAUAUUAAAAUACACUUUUAAUGUAAUAAUAUCUUAAUCAGAUUACAUUUAAUAAAUAUUUAAUAAAAAUCCCAAAAAAGCAUUUUCAGACUUAUUAUUUGAAGAGAAAAUGGCCAAAAGUCCCCCCAAGCUAUUACCAAAUUCCCAACUACACACGUAUUCUUCACGGGGGUUCUAUCACCCCCCUGAACCUUUUAAAAGUGAAAUAUCUACCCCCCUACAAACUCAAGCCCAGAUUUGUAUUAGGUGGUAUUCAACACGUGUUGCCACGUAAUUUUACCCUAUUUUCAUAUUAAAAAAAAUAAUUUUUCUUUUAUAUUUUACUUUUUUUAUUUUUUAUUUUCAUCUUCUCCUUUUCUCUUUCUUUUCCAUUCCUCCAUUUCUUUUUCUUUGAACCUUCUGCAGAUUUGACGAGAGGACGCCAUGACUAUAGAAACUUCGACCUUCACCGCACACCAGGAAAUCUCGUUUUCUAAAGCUAGAGACAAACAAAAAACUCUAUCACUAAAUAUUGCUUCUUCUUCCACUAUUAUAAUAUUUCUCAAAGAUCGAUUCUUCAAAGAAUCACCGGUAAACGAUACUUGCUUGCCGGGAUAAAGGUACCAAACUUGUGGAGGGACUAGUAUUGGUUUAGAUUUAACAAUGUUGAUAUGAGAAAUUCGAUUGAUGUUUACAACAAUUUCAAUAAAUGGGUCUUCUUCANNNNNNNNNNNNNNNNNNNNNNNNNNNNNNNNNNNNNNNNNNNNNNNNNNNNNNNNNNNNNNNNNNNNNNNNNNNNNNNNNNNNNNNNNNNNNNNNNNNNNNNNNNNNNNNNNNNNNAUUUUGAUUUUGAGCUACCAACAAAUUUUCAAAGUGAUGAAAAGUGAAGAUAUGAUGAAAAGUAUGUGAUUUGAUGAUGAGAAUUGACUUAGUGAUGAAAAUAUGAUGAGGGGCGGUGACCUGGUGGUUGAGGUGAGCCACCACUAAAUGUCUAGUAUGGAUCUGAUGAUGAAGAUUGAAGGGAAGAGAUAAAGAAGGUAAAAAAUAAAUAAAAGGAAACAUAUUUUUUAUAAAAAUAGAAUAUUAAUAUGAAAUAAAUUAAAUAUUUAUAAAGUUAAUAUUUUAACUAUCUUUUUAUCUCUCACUCUCCUAAAGAGAAGAGAGUGAACUACACCCUAUUUGCCACAUCAGCAUUUAGGGAGCAAAUAACUUCAUUUAAAAAUAGUUCAGAGGUGUAGUAUGACUCUCGUAAAGUAUAAGUGUGUAGUUGAGAAUCCGAUUAUAGGUUGAGGAGGCUUUUGGCCAUUUUGACUAUAUAUCAUUUUUUUGAAAAAAUAGCUUUCAGUAUAUUAAAUACACUUUAUAUAUAACAAUAUCUCACAAUAGUCGAGACUUGAAUCAUGUAGAAUUUUGAGGUUGAUAAUCUCAAUAAUCAUUCAUUAAUUCAUCGAAAAAGGAUCAAAAUUACCCCUGAACUAUGCAAAGUAGACCACUUAUACCCUUCAUUGCAUUUUGAGAUAAAAAAAUACCCCCGUCGCUAUAUUAAGAAACCACAAAUACCCUCAAAAGUUGACAGUUAUAAUGUGGCACGCCACAUGGCACAAAUUCCACCACCUAAGCUUGUCAACUAGGAUACCCACUAAAUUUUGACCCAAUUUAUAUAGAAUCCAAACCUUCACCCAUUCUUGCUAGAUCCGACCCAUUAAAAUUAAGAGGCAAACAUAUCUGGCUACAUCUGCUCCGGCGAUGUCUACAACGACGACAUCAGAGAAUCUAAAUCAAUUUCUUAUUGUACUAUCCUCUAGAAAUUGAGAUCUGAAAUAAUUUAUGUUUCCUUUACAUUGUAUUCUAAUUAAUUAGGGUUGGUUGGAAUUGCCAAUUAUGUUUGUUGUUCACAGAACUAAUUAAAUAAUGGGUAAAAGGGUCAAAUAUUCCCCUAAACUAUUCAAAAAGAUCUAGAUAUAUCCAUCGUUUAAAGUUUGGCUCACUCAUGCCCUCACCGUCCAACUUUUGGUCUAAAUAUGCCCUUAUGGGCGUUAGUUGGUCUGCUGGACAUAUCCAACUCAUUUUUCAUUUCUUUAAAUGCCACAUGGAAUUGUCAUGUCAUUUUGACUUUACUACAUGACAUUUAUAUGAAAAUGGAAAGGGAUCAAUUAUAUCCCUAAAAAAUUCGAGCCCAUAAACACCUAAUCCGACCCAUAAAUCAACCCCCCCUUUUAAAUAAACUACCCGACCCGUUUUUCAACAAUUUUGUUUAAAUUUUUGUUUUUUUCGAUAAAUCCCAAAAAUUAGUAAUUGAUUAAUGAAAAAUAGAAAAAAUAUGAAAAAAAUAUAUAAAAUUAAUGCUAAAAAUUCACAAAUAAAUAUUGCAACCUUAAAUUCAACAAUUUCAACAAUUUUUAAAUUUUUAUUUUUUCGGUAAAUCCCGAAAAUGAGUAAUUGAUUAAUAAAAAAUAUGAAAAAAAUAUAAAAUUAACGCCAAAAAAUUACAAACAAAUAUAGUAACCUUAAAUUCAAAAAUUUCAACAAUUUUUUUUAAUUUUUAUUUUAUUUUUAAUAAAUUACUCAUUUUCAAAAUUUACCGAAAAAAAUAAAAAUUAAAAAAAAAUUGUUGAAAUUUUUGAAUUUAAGGUUACUAUAUUUGUUUGUAAUUUUUUGGCGUUAAUUUUAUACUUUUUUUCAUAUUUUUUAUUAAUCAAUUACUCAUUUUCGGGAAUUUACCGGAAAAAAUAAAAAUUUAAAAAAAUUAGUUAAAAUUGUUGAAUUUAAGGUUACAAUAUUUAUUUGUGAAUUUUUUUGCGUUAAUUUUAUAUUUUUUUUCAUAUUUUUCCUAUUUUUAAUUAAUCAAUUACUAAUUUUCAGGAUUUAUCGAAAAAAAAUUAAAAUUUAAACAAAAUUAUUGAAAAGGGGUCGGGUAGUUUAUUUAAAAAGGGGGUUGAUUUAUGGGUCGGAUUAGGUAUUUAUGGGCUCGAAUUUUUUAGGGGCAUAAUUGAUCCCUUUCAAUUUUCAUAUAAAUGUCGUGGUAAAGUCAAAAUGACAUGGCAAUUCCAUGUGGCAUUUAAAGAAAUGAAAAAUGAGUUGGAUAUGUCCAGCAGACCAACUAACGCCCAUAAGGGCAUAUUUAGACCAAAAGUUGGACGGUGAGGGCAUGAGUGAGCCAAACUUUAAACGGAGGAUAUACCUAGAUCUUUUUGAAUAGUUUAGGGGCAUAUUUGACCCUUUACCCUUAAAUAAUUAAUGUAAUAAAAUGCUAUGGUAAUGAAAUUUAUGUCUCUUAAAAUCUCUUUACAUCUCUGUUUGAGAUUUAUGAAAAAGUCCAGUAUGAAUAUAACUUAUUCUCUAGGGUGGCGGAGCACUGUCAGCAAUUGAAACUAAAUUCUUUAAGCCAAUUGUGUUUUUCAAAAUAUCCUAAUCGUUGGUCUAUUGAAUUGAAUAACAAAAAUGAUGUGUAAAGAUGAUGUUUGCCUCUUAAUUUUAGUGGGUCGGGUCUAGCAAAAAUGGGUUAGAGUUUGAAUUAUAAAUUGGGUCAAAAUUUAGUGGGUAUCCUAGUUGGCAAGCUUAGGUGGCGGAAUUAGUGCCAUGUGGCGUGCCAAAUCACUGUUGUUAACUCUUGAGGGUAUUUGUGAUCUCUUAAGAUAACGGAAGGGGUAUUUUUGAUCCCAAAAUGUAAUGGAGGGUAUAAGUGGUCUAUUUCGCAUAGUUCAGGGACAAGCUUGACCCUUUUCCGUUAAUUCAUCUCUUUUGAAACUUUUAAUCACUUAGUAAUAAACAAAUAAAUAAAAUAUAGUACUCCCUCUGUCCCAUUUUAUAUGUCACAUUUUUACUUUGCACUUGCAUUAAGAAAUAAUGUAACUUUACCCUUCUACCCUUAUUUAAUGUUUUCUUAAGUCAACUUUAUUAAUAAAUGACAAGAUUAAUUAACUAUUCUAUCAAAGAUAUAAUUGGCAAAAUAUGGUAAUUUAUGCAUAAAUUUUAUAAAAUGACAAGUAUUGUGGUCUAGCUAUUUAUAAAAAGGGAUGACAUAUUAAAUGGGACGGAGGGAGUAUUUCAUUAUGUGAUACAUAUACUAACUCUCUUCAAGUAAUUGAUAUUAAUAAACUCUAUUGAAGUUAAACUAAUUGAAUUAGAUAUUAAUACCAAAUAUUCCUAUGGAUACAUUCCAUUAAAGGAAACUUUAUAUUGAUAUUACAAUUUAAGUAGAUAUAACAUAUUAUUACUUUAUAUUUCAAGUUACCUUGUAUUAAAAUAUUCGUACAUUAUUAUACAAAAUUAAACCAAAGAACAUGGGAGAAGUGAGCUAAUAAGGUGCUAAAAACUUCUAUUUUCUCUAUAUACAAGAAAAAACACUAAUACUAUUUUCGUAAUAAGCAUUUUUUCUACUUGAUGCACAAAUAGUACUUUUAAUGCAAGUCAAGGUAUACUAUCAACUUUCCACACUUAUUAUAACAAAACAUUAUUGAUAUUUGGCACUUACGGAAGUCCUAUCAUACACAUGCACCACCAGAGUCUUCAUAAGAACUCUAGGACGAGGACAAACUUUAACCCUGAUUUACAAUAAGCUGUCAAAUUGGUAGCAAAGGACGGAUGGGUGCUAAGCUAAGUGAGGAAUGUCACCAUUUUACUCCUAAUGAUAGAUAGAAAGGUGGGAGAGGGGUUAAGGGACGACAAAUGUACAAAAACGAAAACUAUGUAACAUACUAAGUUAAAUGUAGGCCCAUUAUAAACAAUCAUUAACACAACCUCUAAUCUCACUUGGCUAGGAGCAAUCACUUGAACAUGAUGGGAUUGAUCGAUCUACAUCAAGAUAUGUAAUUCACAAAGCAAAAACUAGACCAAGAAAUGUAAUUCACAAAAACAAAUACUACGAUACGCGAGUUAAAUGUAGGCCCAUUAUGAACAAUAAGCAACACAACCUCCAAUAUCGCUUGGCUAGGGGCAAUCACUUGAACAAGGCGGGAUUGAUCGAUCUACAUUAAGAAAUGUAAUUCACAAUACAAAUAGUUAAGAAAAAAUAUCUGACAUUUCCUGCCCAAACAAAUCGAUUAUUCAAUUUCCUAGCUUUAUUCCUGAACUUUGGAUAAACAAAAUUCCUCUGUAUAAAUGAUCUGUAAACACUAGCUAAUUGAGAGCUUGUAUGGUCCCAAAAACAAACUGGGCAUUAUACAAAACACUGUAUCUUCGUUUGUCUUUUUAGUUAGAAAUCUGCUUCUAUCACUAAUAUCAGACCUUGAAGCCUUCAGCUCGAAGACAUUUACGAUGAGCUUCAAUCCAUUUCUCACAAGCGGAUUCACCGUGCUCCACAAUGCAUUCAUCCCUCAGCUUCUUAGUUUCAGGGCAAGCGCAGCAAAUCUUCUUCUUUGGCUUUGAAUCGGGCAUUGUAGAUGCGGUUGACUUCUGAUCUUUUGGAAGUUUCGACAAGGAUAUGGUUGUGGAUGUAUUCUCUAUCGGCAGUCCACCCAUCGUCAAAGAUUACUGGAGGAGUUAGAAAUAACAAUCAACAAUGGCUAUCUGAAGGACACUUGAGCACUGAAAUACACACUAAUAUAAGCCAACAGAUAGUCUGUUUGGCCGAACUUCUAAAAUCUGCUUAUUUUGAAAAGAGUUUUUUGUCAAUGUUUUUCGAGAAAGUACUCAUGGAGAGUAGUAGUUUGUGUUUGACUAGUCAAUUUUAUAAACAUUUUUGCCAAUAUUAGAGCAACAAUCUGUGUUUGGCCAAGGUUCCAAAAGUGUUUUGGGGACACGUCGACUCUUAAAAAUAAGAAGUUUUUAAAAAAAAAACAAUAAACACUUUUAGCUUCCCAAAAACAUGACCAAACAAACUAGAAAGGACCAAAAUAAUGUAUAAGAAAUGCAUUUCAAAUUCAACUCAUCAAAACUUCCAGAAGAGGAGAAGAAACCCAAAAGGGUGUCUAUCGAAAACAGUGAUAGGACGUCAAAUUUACAAUUUCAUCAAUCUAAUAAUCUAUUAUGGAGUCCACAAAAUAGUGUUACUGUACCACCUUCACAUGAAGUAAUCAAGAGCUGAUUAAACAUGAGCAAUCGAGCACAUCUAGUGCUGACGGAAUCCUUUUUUAAAUGCUUAACCACAAUUCUUAUGAAAAUAAGUGGAAAAAGAUAUUGCAAGUAUUAGGAUUCCCCUUUUUUCCACAUCACGUCUAUGUCAAACAACAUGCACUUGUUAUUAAAAGAAAUCCUCAAUAAUCAUUAAAAGGAUUCUGAUGGGUUCUACACUAGUAAAACAAUUUCAAAACAUAUAGAGCUUCCAGAAACAGAAUCUCUUUUUCUAUCCCAUCCCCCCCCCCCUGCUUUUUCGGUACCCUUUUCCAGCACAUAUCACUACAAAAAAACUCACAUCUAAGUGUGCAUAAGUUUUUUGGAACCUUUUAUAUAUGAGUUAAUCGGUUUACCCAAAUGAUAAUUAUAUUAUCCUACUAAAAAGACCUUUCUCAUGGGGAGGCUAAAAGAUAAGAGAGACAAGCUUUCUCCUGGAGAAAAAAAUAAUCUCUGAGGACUAUCAGAGUAAAGAUUACUCUACCUGCACCCCUCUUCCCCUGUUCAGGCAAAAACUCUCCCCACAACACCCCCACCACCACCCCAACUACCAAAAAGAGCUUUUCCAUUCACUUUUUUUCAUCUUCUAUUUAACCAAAUGAAUACUAAUCUUCUCACAACAUAAGUUCUUUCGUACUAACAUAUUUCUCCAACAAAGAUGUAAUCUCAAACACAUUCGUAAGAGGCACAAAUGAUGUCAUUGAUGACAUUACAAUGUCGUGCUACAUUCUACCUCAAAGAGCGUUGUCUAUUUGGACGUUUAACAAUUAAGCAAUAGUAUGCCAAGUGUCAACUAAAUUACUAACCAUUAUUCCACAUGACGUGUCAGACACUAUACAUAAUGAAAUAGAAAAGGUGAAGUGAAAAUUAUUCAACAAAAGAAGUGUGUAUUCAGUGAUAAUUUGUGAGAUUCUCUAGCUUUAGGAAUAAUGCCGCUUUACAAUGCAAAUUUCCUAAUAAGGUCUACUUCAAUCAAUCAAUCAACUACUUCUAAAACCCAAACGGGUAUUGUCAGCUAUAUGAAUCUUCUAUAUCACUUCUGCUCUUCCAUUAUUGUCUCCUAAAACAUAUUAGAAGUUCUCCGAAACUAGAUGUUCCUUAAAUUAGAGUCCCCUUCAAUCCAUCACUUUUGUUAGGGAAAACACUUAUGGAGAAGUCAUAAUUGUUUGGAUAACAAACUAUUCACAUAGACAUUUCUAUACUACAAUUAAGAAGGAUAAAAAACAUCUUUACUUAGGAGGAUAAUUCGAAUUUAAAAAUGCUUAAAAUGAUGAACAGCAGGUGUUCAUUGUCCGUAAUUCAGUAAAUAGUGCUUCUGUCUAAUUUCCUUAUCACAAAACAUGGAUCAAAAUUCAGAACGUGAUGGAAAAAGAAUCAACCAUUUGGAAGAAACAAAAGAGAAUACACUUCUUUGUUUUUUUAAUAAUAGUGUUAUCUGGUCUAGUUUGCGUGCACCUCAACUAAUUCCACGAGAUACCUGCUACCUCCCACUAGCAAAAGUAUCGAGUAACUCCAUCCACCAAGGGCUGAACAAAUAGAAUGAAAUCACCUAAUGUUUAUUGCCUCAAGUGGGAUUUAAACUUGAGACCUCAUGAUUUUCGAUCCACUUCCUUAACUAUUAGGCACCCUUGGGUGAAAAAAGAAAAUAUGUUUCUAUAAACUAAGAGUAAAAAAAUAUUCUUUUUUUUUUGAGAAGGUAACAGUCUUGUAUUAUAUUCCAAAAAAUCAGACCUGCCACAACUUGUUACAGGUUUACUAAUUACAAAUAAAAAGAGAGUAUCAGGAAGAUCUUCAAUCCUAAAUAAACAAAAAUUACAAGGUGCCUAAAGCAUUCAUUGAAUGGUGAAAAUGCAAUCAAUAUUUAAAGGUAAGUUUUAUAGAAUGGUGGUUAGAGGGACUAUGUUAUGUGGGAAAGAGUAUUGGUCAGUCAAAAACUAUCAUGUCUAGAAGAUGAGAGUAGAAUUGAUGAGGAUGUUGAUAUGGAUGUGUGAGCAUACAAGGAGAGAUGAGAUUAGGAAUCAAGAUAUUCGGGCCAAGGUUGGAGUGGCCCCAUGGAGGAUAAGAUACGAGAAGUAAGGUUGAGAUGAUUCAAGCUUGUAAAAAAGAGAAGUGUGGAUGUGCUGGUAAGAAAGCACGAGAGGUUGGUCGGUCGAAGGCUUGAGGACGGGUAGAAUUAGGCCUAAGAAGUAUUGGGAUGAGGUGUUAGGUAGGACAUGACGUAGCUUCAGCAUACCGAGGAUAUAACCCUUGAUAGGACGGUGUGGAGGUCGAGGAUAAGGAUAAAAUGCUAGUAGGUAGUCGAGUGUUCUGUUUUCCUAUUCCCUAGUGUAUUAGUAUUAGUCUUGUAUUUUCGUAUUCUUAGAUUUCUAUUUCAAUCCAUUGAUUCCUUAGCCUCAAUUACUGUGUUCUCUUGUUUUUGUUCUAGCUUGUUGCUACUGUCAUCUUUUCAUUUAUUUUGAGCUGAGGUUCUAUCGGAAACAUCUUCUCUACCUUUUCAAGGUAAUUUUUCAAGGUAUGGGUAAGGUCCUCGUACACACUACCCUUCUCAGACCCCACUUGUGGGAUUACAUUGAGUUUGUUGUUGUUGCCCCGGAGACAAAAAUUACCUCCAACAGCCCUAGUGGUUAGCUCAAUUAGCAAAGGUUGAUGGAUUUGUGUCUUAAGCCACAAGUUCAAGCCCUCAGCCAAGUGAACUAAAUCCACUAUUUAAAUAGAGAAUGCUAAGAGGGGCGAACUCAUCAUCUUCUGAGUUUCGAAGGUUACGAUUAGCUCAAAGUACUGGAAAAUUUCGCGGUCAUUAAGCUCUGCGUACACUCUAUCCUCCACAAAUCGCACCUGUGGGUUUAUUGUUGUAUUACGCAAUGGAUCAAUUGAUUUCAAAUUCCAUCUCCGCUACUAGGCAUAUAUUUCUGACUUUGUUUCAUCGAAAAAAUAAGUAAUCAAAACGCUUAGGGUUCUAAAAUCAAAGUGACGGAGCACAUAAAAACGCAAAUUCAAGGGUUGAAUUGAGUUAUCGGAGUAAAAAAUACGAAAAAAAAUGAUUAAUUCAAAAAUUGUCAAUCAUCGAUACUUCAAACUUCGAAUAGAAUAGUAUGUAGAUAUGCGGCUUACCUUUUUUGCUCCGUAGUUCUUCGCCGGCGUUCGGUUGAUUGUAGACGGCGAUGUAUCUGUUGACAAUCUAACUUGGUAGGUUUAUUAAGAAAGGAAAAAAGGCUAAGUUCUCCCACUACUUUUGGUUUACAAAUGUGCCAAACGUCUCCUUUUUUUGCUUUUCCUUUUUAGUUUAUUUUUUUCAUUCGGUGUUUGAUAUUUUUUUUGUGAUCAGAUUAAUUUGAAUUUUGUAUAAAUCAAAAUCUGGACUUGAUAGGUAGACGUGAUUAUUAGCUCGUCUAGUCCUGAGGAUAUGAGGUUGAGAAUAUCUCAAUGGUCGGUCAGACUAAACUUAAAAGGAUAAAAGCAUACUUUGAGUAACGAAUGAAAACGAUAUAAUUUAUGUAAACAUUAUACUCAUUAAGCAAUACAAUACAAUAUAACACACAUUACGAAAUGAUACAUAACAAGCAUCCAAACAAAAAGUAAAGAUAAGUUUAUUUCAAAAACUUAAAUUCAAGAUCAUCUCUAAUAAAAAAUAAAUGAAUAUCUACCGCUUAUAUUACUUUUAAUAUUUUUUGCUUUCCAGUUUGACAUGCUCCCCUCCCUUUUCUAUGAAAUUUUAGAAGAAGAAAUGAAAUUCUAUCUUGGGUACAUGUCACUUCUAUUACAAGGAAUUCAACUUCCAAUCCCAAAUUAACAUGCAAUUAAACAUGAGGUGGGUUGAAGUUAGCAUCAAAGGCUGCAAAUUCACCUUAUUAUAUGAUAAUUGUAAUUUAUUUUUUAAGAGAUAAAGCAUUAAAAAUAUUCUAAAUUUGGUGUGAAUUAUAAUUUUAGUUCCUUAAUUAUUGAUCACCUUCCUAUCUAUUUGAGUAAGAAAUUUUAAAAAAAUACUCCUCUUAUAUAUGCCACAUGUCAUUCACUUAUACAUAUAUAUGAAAUUUUUUAUUGAUACGAUGUACACAUAGAUAUAUAUAGAUAUAUAUAUAUAUAGUUAAGAAAAAGUAUUUAAGCACUCCUCUUUGAUGUUGAAAUUUCUUGGAGUAAUUUUAUGUCGGCAGAAUUAAAGAAAAGAAAAGUAAUUUUAUGAUGUUGAAAUUCUAAUUUUGACAAAAGUUUCACAAGUUGGACAUAAUAAAUUUGAACAUAUCAUUUUUUUUCUUUCACUACCAUACAAUUUUGUCAAAUUAUUAGUUUAAAUACUUUUUCUUUAACUAUAUAUAUCUAUCUAUGUGUACACUGUGUCAAUAGAAAAUUUCACAUAUAUGCAUAAAUGAAUGACAAGUGGCAUAAGAGGAGUAUUUUUUAAAUUACUUAAUAAGUAGAUAGGUAUUUUUUAGAUUGACAAUAAUUGAGAGAUUAAAAUAAUAAUUCACGCCAAGUUUAGAAUAUUUUCAAUGCUUUUCCUAUCAUACAAUUUUGUCAUAUAUAUAUUGCCUCCUUUACCAAUCAAAAGCAUGUUGCUUAAGUUGCACACAUAUUUAUUCAAACAUCACUAUCAUAAAAAUUGCACCCAUGUUGAUUCAAACACCAUUAUCAUAAAAGUACAUCCUAAUAUGUUACUACCUUACAUACCAUUCUUAUCUACCUUGCCUGGUUUGUCUGAUAGUCAAAAGAAAUUCAACAUCUAAUAUAUAUAUAUAUAAAUAAUAUAAUUUUUUAUCAAAUAAAAUUCGGAUCUAUCUGGCUGUGCCCCUGUGGGAUGGGGAGUGGGGUUGGUUAUUCAGUUUUUUCUUCUUUUUUUUGUGGCCAGAAAAAAGUGUAAGCUUACACUAAAAACAGCAUUAUUGUAGGAAGAAUCUAUAAAGUGAGAUAGACAAUGUAACUUCACUUGUUCUUUUCAAAAAAGACUUUGCAUACCAACAGGACUAUUUGCAAAUGACAUACUUCAAAUUUUGGAAGAUCUAAUAAUAGAAAAUAAUACUAGAGAUAGAAGGACUAUUAUCGAUGGCGAAGUUAAAUUUUUUGUUAAAAAAUGUUUAAAAUUUUAAUAUAUUUAUCUCAAAAAAGAAGUUGUCAACCUAUAUAUACAAUAUCAUUUUCUAAUAAAAAGUACAUUCAAGUGACCUUCCAUAGAACAAUGCAGCUACAAACUAUCACCGAUAAACAUUAAGCAUGAAGAUGAAGUCAAAUAUAAUGAAGAAGACUUGUUGACAUUCGAUUGAGAAUCUUAUCAUCUGUUAGGUGGGCCAAUGGAUCAACCAAAUUGAGCUAAAAAGGGGACCAACAAAAGAUACCCCAUGUUGAGUUCAAGUGGAAAAGUUGAGGGGACUUUUUAAAUUGGGACAUUGGUCGUUUGUGUUUUGUGGAUUAAAUUCGAUGACAAUUAUUCACUCUGUGUCCUUUUAGAGUUGAGUGAUCUUCAAAGCAUUCUCAAUUCAUUUUUUCUAGUGCUCCUUAAUUAGAUCCAUACUGAUAUUGCUUAUAUAAGAGUAACAAGAGAACUAAAAAAUAUAAUAAAAUUAUCAAAUAAAAAAGACUAAGUCAAGCUAAUAUUAACCAAACAAAUACCUUCCUUCGCUAUGCAAAGAUAUUUAAGUAGAGAAAGGUAGAAGGACAAGAUCGUUAUUGAUAAAAAAAAAAAAAAAAAAAGGAGACUCUAAAGAUGCCCUAGAGUUGAGUUCUAGGGGUAAAAGUUGAGAAACUUGUGAUUCAUGUCACAUAUUUGAGUCUACUCGAAACGAUCAGAACCUAAUAUUAAAGUGAAGAAAAAUAGUUAUAGCGAACCCAUUAUUCUCGAGUUUCAAAAGCUAUGAUUGAUCUAGGAAGUUGGUCCUAAAAAAAUAAAAGUAGAGGGACCCAACUAAAGAUUCAUGACUAAUGAGGAUUGAGUCAUAGGCUCUGUACUAAUCAAAGCCACUAGCAUUGAAUAUUCAUAAAGAAGGUAAAUUAAGUCUUAUAUUAUUGACAAUGUAUCAUAUAUUAAGACAAAGUGAUCAAUCACACAUUUUCAAAUCAGAAAUAAUGCAACUUUAUAGAAAAGAAAAGGCAACUUAAUGGACAAAGCAUCCUCUAUUAAUAGGAUUUGAUGAAAGAACCGCACCUCAAGAAAGGGUGCGAUGUAGACAUCCUACCUUAAUGCAAUCAUAAAUGACUACUUUUAUAGUUUGAACCCACAACCUAUAGAUUACACGAAGAGAACUUUACUGUUGCUUCAAAGCUCACAUCGAGUCUUGCAGUAUAGAAAGUUAGAAUACCAAACAAAAGCCAACAUCAGGAGAUCACAAACACAUCUCAUUCUAUCAACAGAAACUUACACAAGUAAAUGAAGCACUUUACAAGAAUUGUCCACAAAAAUAGAAAAGGAAGAAAGUACUAUACAAGAUUAAAGCAAAGAAGCACAAUCUGGUUGUGUUCAAAACCUAACUUCUUGCAGAGCAGAUUUCAGUCUGCAAACUUUCAGAUUCUUUAGCCAAAUCCAACUAGUUCGGAAUUGCGAUGUAGUUGAGUGAUACUUGAACAAAGACAGUUUUUUUCAUCUAAACAUCUAAAUAUGGACUCAAAUGUGUGUCCCUUCAAGGCAUGAAAAUGGCAACCACAAGAUCCAUAUAUGAAACAAAGGAAGUAAGGCAACAUAGACUAAUCACACUUUUCUCUGAUUUGUUUUUGUCAUCCUUGAACAAGGGUCAUGCUAAUCUUCUCUGUAUCAUCCCUCGAAGGGACGAACGAAGACUAAUCAUACUUCUCUCUCCAAGAAUACACGAGAAAGAAAACCCAAGAAAGUCCUAAAGCAAUGUCAGCAACAACCAAUCUCAGCCAAUCGUGUCCGAGAUCCUCCUCAAGCUUCCUCUCAAAGUAAAUUCUCCAAACAGCCAUAGCUAUAUGAAGGAGGACACAUCCCUUAGCAAAGAAAUUGUGAAACUCUCUGUCUUUAACAAAUGCCACCAUGAACAAGAAAAAACCAAUGGCAAAUAAAAGCAGACCAGAGAAUGAAUCUGAUGUUUGGAUUAUCAAUUGGUCAUGCGGUGUCGAUCCAAAAAGCUUACUCGCACGCUCUCUUCCAUGGCUAAAUAUAAAUACCUCAUUGCUAUAAAACAUCAUCAAAGCUCCAGAAGUUAAGGCCACCAUAGAAUGAAGCAUACACAAGAGGAAAAAACCAGAUGACCCCAUUUGAUCUUUUUGAAACACCCAAAAUUAUCUCUUUUUUUAACUCACCAAAGCUUCAAUCUUUGUACAACAACAAGAACAACUACGCCUCAGUCACGAACAAGUUGAGGUCGGCUAUAUGAAUCCCACUUCUUGAUUAUACUAAAUAAGAGGAAAAAACCAUAUGACCCUAUUGAUUAUUUGAACCAAUACCCAAAAUUAUCUCCUCCUUUUAGCUCACCAAAGCUUCAAUCUUUAUACAACAACAACAACAACAACUAUGACUCAAUCCCAAACAAGUUGAGGUCGCUAUAUGAAUCCUCACUUCUUCGUUUAAGUUCAUAUCAUACUAAAUAAUAGGAAAAAUCCAGAUGGCUUCCAUUCAUCACUUGAAACACCCAAAUUUAUCUCCUUUUUUAGCUCUCAAACGCUUCAAUUUCUAUGCCUGGAGAAUACAUAAGAGGGCAACAUACAGAUUACACUUUUGAUCACUUGAAUCACCCAAAAUUAUCUCCUUUUUAGUUUAAACUCAAAAGCUUCAAGCUUAAUGAGUGGAGAAUACAUAUAUAAGAGGAAAAAUCCAGAUUGACCCUAUUGAUUAUUUCAAACAAUACCCAAAAUUACCUCCUUUUUUUUAGCUCUCCAAAGGUUCAGUUUUUCAAUACAUAAAGAGGACAAACUACAGAUGAACCUACUGAUCAUUUCAAACAAUACACAAAAUUACCUCCUUUAAGCUCACCAAAGGUUCAACAUUUAUGAGUGGAUAAUACAUAAGAAGGAAAAAACUAGAUGACCCCUUUUGAUUAUUUCAAACACCCCAAAAUUCUCUCUUUUUUCAGCUCAUCAAAGAUUCAAUUUUUAGGCACAAAAACAUCUUCAAGAUUUUCACUUCAGGUACAAAACAAUGAAUCACAUAUAUCAAAUCUUUGGCCACCUAUUAACAAGAAAUCCAGAAAACAAAACAGUGAGACUUUUUUAACCAAAUGUUGAAAGAAUGAGUUUUUCCUCAAUUCUCAAGCACCCCAUCAAACAUAAUAGUAAAAAAACUAACCAAAUGUUCAAAAGAAAGAGUUUAUCAACCCCAUAAAACAAAAUAGUGAAAAAGACUAACCAAAUGUUCAAAAGAAAGAUUUUUUCCUCAAUUCUCAAGAACCCCAUGAACCAAAACAGUGAAAAAGACUAACCAAAUGUUCAAAAGAAAGACUUUUUCCUCAAAACACAAGAAACCCAGAAAAUAAAUUGUCCAAAAAAGGAUAUUUUUCCUCAAUUCUCACGAACCCCAUCUAACAAAACAGUGAAAAAGACUAACCAAAUGUUCAAAAGAAAGACUUUUUCCUCAAAACACAAGAAACCCAGAAAAUAAAUUGUCCAAAAAAGGAUUAAUCAUUAACAUAUAUACCUCAAAAGAGAUCACUCUGGGAUAUGAAUAACAGGAAAUUGGUCCAUUUACAGCUCUCCAGAUGUCAAUUUUUAAGAAUUUAAGGUAAUUCUUUUUUGUGACUGAUCUGGAUGAAAGCUUAGACAGACAGAUGGACUUCAAGAUUUAGAGAGAGAAAAGAAGGCUUUGGAUCCAAAAACCCAAAUUCUCAAACAGCUGGAAAGUGAUGGAAGGCAAGGAAUAUGGAAGAGAUAUUUCUUUCCUUUUCUUCUUCUUUUAGUUGGCUUUUAAUAAAAGGGAUAUGGAAAAUAUUUUAUAGAGAGAGUGUAAAAGAAAAGAACAUAAAAUCUUAUUACAACCAAAUACCAUAUUUGUUUUGAUUGCUACUUCCGUUGUUUCACUUACGUGCCAUAUUUUAGAUUUUAAAGUUCAAAUAAGUCUAUCUUUUAUCUUAAUUUUUUCUUAUAUCCUUUAAAUAUUUUAAAUUGUCAAUUAUUAUGAUUUAUAAUAUUUUUACGUAGUUUAUAAAUAUAUAAAUUUUAUUUCAAAAAAAUUAAAGAUUUCAUGUGCAAACUCCUGAUCAAACUUAAACGGUUUGACUCUCGAAAAAUAAAAUGUGUCACAUAAAUUGAGACAACGAAAAUAUUAUUUUUUAUUGUAUUAUAUAAUUAAAUAAAUUUGUUACUAUAUAAUGGUAAAAGUCUUAUUUUAUAAAAUAACUGAUUUGGUAUGAUAACAUUGAUUUUUUUGUUUUUUCGUUGUAAUAGAGUCGAAGGUCUUUCAAUGAACAACUUUUCUACCUCGGGCUCAGAGAGACAAUGAUAAACACUAUGUACACUUUACCCUCUUCAUUAUUUACUUUAUAAAUUUCAUUAGAUAUGUUAUUGUUAUUGUUUGCUAUGUACCUUAUCUAGGGGUGUGCAAAAAUCGAACUGACCGAUAAAACGAACCGAAAAAAGUGUUAUUGAUUUUAUUGCUAUUGGGUUAUUGGGUUAACGGUUCCUUAAUGGUUUUAUAAAAAAAAUUAUCGGGUUAUCGGUUCGGUAUUGGUUUUCAAUAUUGGGUUAUUGGGUAAACCGAUAACUCAUUAAGAGUUAAGACUAUAGUAAUUUAAUACUUUACAUAUACAUACAUAUUAAUAAAUAUUAAUCUCAAUAUCUUAAUAGUUAUGUCUUUGUCAUUUAACCAUCAAUUCAUACUUCGUUGUGACUUUCAGUUCACAACUUUACAUUAUACAAAUCGUCAAAACCUAUAGUAAGAAUCAUAUUUCUCUUUAUUUCUCUUUGUGUUACACAUGUAUAGUUCUUUCAUGUUUGUUAUUAUUAUUUCUAUUUUAUGAGCUUUUGUAAAGUUACAUUAUUGUCUUGUCUUGUCGUGUCAAAUUUAUUAGAGAAGUCAUAUAUUUGUUUCAUAAGCAUGUUCUUAUUGGUUAAACCGAAAACCGAACCGUUAAGGACCAAAACCGAUAAACCGAAAACAGAUAAAAAAUUAUCUUAUUGGUUCGUUAUUGGUUUAGCGUAUUUAAAAACCAAAAACCGAUAAAUCGAACCGAACCGACCGAUGCACACCCCUAAUCUUAUCUCUCUUGUAGAUUUGCCUUUUCAAAUAAUUAAAGUAUGACAUUAUAUAAAAUGUACCAUGUAUUCAAAGGUUAUAUUUAUUAAAAUAAUAUAAUAUUUUUUAAUAUAAUAUAAUAAAUAUGAUAUAAUAUAUUAUGAAAUGGUACGUGAGUGUAGGGACGGUUACUAAUGCUACGGAUAUAUUUUUUUGUAUUUAUAAAGAUAAAAUCUUUGGUGUAGAUUAAACGUUUUUACUAUUUUUCUGAUUUUGUUCUUUUUUUGCCUUAUCUUUUCCUUUUUUGUUUCUUGUUGUUAAUUAAUGGUGAUUAUGUUAUGUAGUAAUUAAAGGGAUUAAUUACACUUAAUUCUUAAUAAAAAAAUUAAUUUAUUUCUCGUGAGAUUUGACUAAGUUCAUACACCCCCAUUAAUUGAAUUGUUCAUUUUCUAUCACUUUCCUUGUGAAUUUUCACAUAUUUAUAUUUAUAAUUUAAUUAUCAUACACGUUAUGUUAAAAUUAUAUUAUUAUUUCAUAUUUAAUAAUGAUAUAAUUCUAUAAAUAGUUAAUACAAUAUAUUUUUAAUAUGAAAUAACUAAACACACAUAUUUUAACUAAUUAAAGAUUAAAUAUAUUAAUAUGGUAGGGCAAAAAAAUCUUGAAGUCAUGGGCAUACAUGAUCUACUAUAAUAAUCAUGGUUUUGGAUUAGGUUAUUUUCAAUUAUUUUACUUUCUUUAAAGUGAUGAAAUACAAUUAUUUGUAGAUAUCUUAAAAUUAUAGGGCCCCCUCUAUUCUUCACCCAUGAUAGAAGACAAGUUUUUUUGUUUCUUUAUUUUCUACUUUUUACCCUUUUUAAGUGAGGGAAAAGUAAAGGUAAAAAUCAUGCACACCUAUACUCGCAUUCAAUAUUUACAUUAAAGUAUAAUCAUACAUAAAUUAUAAAGUAGAGUGAAUAUAUAUAUAUAUAAUAAUGUAAGGGGUCAUAACGUACUUUCAACAAUAAAUGAGAAGAGACUGAAAUUUACAAAUAAAUCGCAUUCGUUGAAUGCGUUUUAUGCCUUUCUUACUCAGCGAUCAAUUAAUGUUGAGUAUAAAAUGAAAUUUUUUUUUAUCUAUUCUAGAUAUGAUAAAUGUAAUAAAUAAAAGAAAUAAAUAUAUUUUGAAAAUAUUGGACAAAUAAAAUUAAACAGAAGGGGUAAUAACGUAAUUUCGACAAUAAAUGAGAAGAGACUGAAACUCACACAUAAAUCGCAUUCGUUGAAUGCGUUUAUGCCUUUCUUACUCAGCUCAAUUAAUGUUGAGAAUAAAAUGGAAAUAAUAAUUAUUUUCUAGAUAAGAUUAAAGUAACAAAUAAAAGAGAUAAAUAUAUUUUAAAAAUAAUAGAAUAAUAAAAUUAAAUAGAAGGGGUAAUAACGUAAUUUCAACAAUAAAAGAGAAGAGACUGAAACUUACAAAUAAAUCGCAUUCGUUGAAUGCGUUUUAUGCCUUUCUAACUCAGUUCAAUUAAUGUUGAGUAUAAAAUGAAAAAAAUAAUUAUCUAUUCUAGAUAUGAUAAAAGUAAUAAAUAAAAGAAAUAAAUAUAUUUUAACAAUAUUGGAUAAAUAAAAUUAAACUGAAGGGCUAAUAACGUAAUUUCAACAAUAAAUGAGACUGAAACUUACACAUAAAUCGAAUUCACGGAAUGUGUUUUAUGCCUUUCUUACUCAGCUAAAAUAAUGUUGAUUAUAAAAUGGAAAUAAUAAUUAUAUUUUCUAGAUAGGAUUAAAGUAACAAAUAAAAGAAAUGAGUAUUUUAAAAAUAUUAGACAAAUAAAAUUAAACGGAAGGGGUAAAAACGUACUUUCGACAAUAAAUAAGAAAAGACUGAAACUUACACAUAAAUCGCAUUCGUUGAAUGUGUUUUAUGUCUUUCUUACUCAUCUCAAUUAAUGUUGAGUGUAAAAUGAAAAAAAUAAUUAUAUAUGAUAAAAGUAAUAAAUAAAAGAAAUAAAUUUAUUUUAAAAAUAUUGGAUAAAUAAAAUUAAAAAGAAGGGCUGCCCCCAAGGCCUAGCUCAAGUGGCAAAAGGUGGAGGAGUUGUGGCUUAGGUCGCAGGUUCAAGCCCCACACCCUGCAAAGCGAAGCCCGGUAUUUAAGUGGAGAAGGGUAGAGGGGCGGGCCCAUUAUCCACCGAGUUUAGAAGGCUUGUGAUUGGUCCAAAGGGCGUGUCACAGACGGAUUUCUCGGUUAUAAAAAAAAAAAUUAAAAAGAAGGGCUAAUAACGUAAUUUCAACAGUAAUUGAGACUGAAACUUACACAUAAAUCGCAUUCGCGGAAUGCGUUUUAUGUCUUUCUUACUCACCUCAAUUAAUGUUGAUUAUAUAAUGGAAAUAAUAAUUAUAUUUUCUAGAUAGGAUUAAAGUAACAAAUGAAAGAAAUAAAUAUAUUUUAAAAAUAUUAGACAAAUAAAAUUAAACGAAAGGGGUAAUAACAUAAUUUCAACAAUAAAUGAGAGGAGACUGAUAUUCACACAUAAAUCGCAUUCGCUGAAUGCGUUUUAUUCCUUUCUUACUCAGCUCAAUUAAGUUUGAGCAUAAAGAGAAAAAAUAUUUAUCUAUUUUAGAUAUGAUGAAAGUAAUAAAUAUAUUUUAAAAAUAUUGGAUAAAUAAAAUUAAACGGAAGGGGUAAUAACGUAAUUUCGACAACAAAUGAGAAGAGACUGAAACGUACACAUAAAUCGCAUUCGCUAAAUGCGUUUUAUGCCUUUCUUACUUAGCUCAAUUAAUGUUGAGUAUAAAAUGAAAGUAAUAAUUAUUUUUCUAGAUCGGAUUAAAGUAACAAAUAAAAGAAUGAGUAUAUUUUAAAUAUAUUAGACAAAUAAAAUUAAAACGUACUUUUCGACAAUAAAUGAGAAAAGACUGAAACUUACACAUAAAUCGCAUUCGUUGAAUGCGUUUUAUGUGUUUCUUACUCAGCUCAAUUAAUGUUGAAUAUAAAAUGAAAAAAAUAAUUAUCUAUUCUAGAUAUGAUAAAAGUAAUAAAUAUAUUUUAAAAAUAUUAGAUAAAUAAAAUUAAACAAAAGGGCUAAUAACGUAACUUCAACAAUAAAUGAGACUGAAGCUUACACAUAAAUCGCAUUCGAUGAAUGCGUUUUAUGCAUUUCUUACUCAACUCAAUUAAUGUUGAUUAUAAAAUGGAAAUAAUAAUUAUAUUUUCUAGAUAGAAUUAAAGUAAUAAAUGAAAGAAAUAAAUAUAUAUUUAAAAUAUUAGAUAAAUAAAAUUAAAUAGACGGGGUAAUAACAUAAUUUCAACAAUAAAUGAGAAGAGAGUGAAAUUUAUAUAUAAAUCGCAUUCGUUGAAUGCGUUUUAUGUCUUUCUUAGUCAGCUCAAUUAAUAUUGAGUAUAAAAUAGAAAAAAAAUAUGUAUCUAUUUUAGAUAUGAUUAAAGUAAUAAAUAUAUUUUUAAAAUAUUGGAUAAGUAAAAUUAAAUGGAAGGGGUAUUAACGUAAUUUCGAUAACAAAUGAGAAGAGACUGAAACUUACACAUAAAUCACAUUCGCUGAAUGCGUUUUAUGCCUUUCUUACUCAGCUCAAUUAAUGUUGAGUAUAAAAUAGAAAAUAAUAAUUAUAUUUUCUAGAUCGGAUUAAAGUAACAAAUAAAAGAAAUGAGUAUAUUUUAAUAAUAUUAGACAAAUAAAAUUAAACGGAAGGGGUAAUAAUGUACUUUCGACAAUAAAUGAGAAGAGACUGAAACUUACACAUAAAUCGCAUUCGUUGAAUGUGUUUUAUCCCUUUCUUACCCAACUCAAUUAAUGUUGAGUAUAAAUGAAAAAAAUAAUUAUCUAUUCUAGAUAUGAUAAAAAUAAUAAAUAAAAGAAAUAAAUAUAUUUUAAAAAUAUUGGAUAAAUAAAAUUUAACGGAAGGGCUAAUAAUGUAAUUUCAACAAUAAUGAGACUGAAACUUACACAUAAAUCGCAUUCGCUGAAUACAUUUUAUGCCUUUCUUACUCGGCUCAAUUAAUGUUGAUUAUAAAAUGAAAAUAAUAAUUAUAUUUUCUAGAUAGGGUUAAAGUAACAAAUAAAAGAAAUAAAUAUAUUUUAAAAAUAUUAGACAAAUAAAAUUAAGCGGAAGAGGUAAUAAGUAAUUUCAACAAUAAAUAAGAAGAUACUGAAACUUACACAUAAAGCACAUUCGUUGAAUGCGUUUUAUCCUUUUCUUACUCAGCUCAAUUAAUGUUGAUUGUAAAAUUGAAAUUGAGUAAUUAUAUUUUCUAGAUAGGAUUAAAGUAACAAAUAAAAUAAAUAAAUAUAUUUUAAAAAUAUUAGACAAAUAAAAUUAAACGAAAGGAGUAAUAACGUAAUUUCAACAAUAAAUGAGAAGAGACUGAAACUUAAACUUAAAUCGCAUUCUGAAUGCUUUUUACGUCUUUCUUACUUAGAUUAAUUAAUGUUGAGUAUAAAAUGAAAAAAAUAAUUAUCUAUUCUAGAUAUUAUAAAAGUAAUAAAUAAAAGAAGUGUAUAUAUAUAUAUAUAUAUAUAUAUAUAUAAACUAACUGUGAUUUAAUAAUAAAAAUGUAUGUUAAUAUGUUAUAUAUUUAUUGAAUUGGUGUAAAAAAACCUUUGAUGAUGUAAAAGAAAAACAAAUUUAUGACCUAACGUCCUACCAAGGACGGAACAAGAGCGUAUUAGGACACGACUUCAACAACUGUCAAGUGUUUUGGUUCAAAUUCUAUAUUUUAUCUUUUAAAAAUGAUUUAAAAUGGCUAGUUAGCUCUUGGAUUCAAGCACCUAAGGAUGAUUUUUUUUUUNNNNNNNNNNNNNNNNNNNNNNNNNNNNNNNNNNNNNNNNNNNNNNNNNNNNNNNNNNNNNNNNNNNNNNNNNNNAUGAUUUUUUUUUUUGUUAAGAGUUCUAUUUGCUCAAUUGGAGCUUGUAUUACGUGAAUUCAAAUAAUCAGACUCUUAUACGAAUAUCAAACAUCGGAUCAAAAAAAAUAAAAUAAUAAUAGUUGGCAAUGCUUCUGGCGUGGGAAUAAAUUAAUGAAUGUAUUAUAUAUGUUAGCAAUUGUUGGUUAACAAUGGCUCUUGUGUGAAUAGCCAUUUCAUCUAAAAUAGGGAGUAUGUAGUAUAAAAUUUGUAAAUCAAAACGGAUUUAAGUUAUUUACACUGACAGUAUACACAUAAUAUAACUAACAUUUUCCAAAAACCAAAAAUUAGUACAAUGGGCAAUACUUAUUGAUUUGGAUCUCUCAAUGAGCUUUAUACUCUUUUGAUCAUAAAAUCAAGGAAAAGUAUGUAACAUCCGAUAAAAUUGGAACGAUACAGGAAAAAAAAGUCUACUUACAUUGAUUCUGACUAGCUGUAUCAACUAAUCUAUCGAUGAGACGUCGUAGCCUUUGAGCUCCUGGCCCGGGUCUAAGCUUUUUCGGGUUCCCAACUUUUGAACAAGGUGGAUUUCCCGUGCACCAACCACCCAGGGUGAAGCUACCAUUCCCCCUGUGUAGAAACUCUUGAUCAAUCUUGUCCAUAACCAGAUCAUCAUUCUUGAAUUUUCGCGCAAAUGCAGCGCCACUUGCUAUCAUUUGUCCAAUGUCAUUGAGUGAUAGAAUGUGUGGAUGUUGUUUUGGAGGAACAUCCCAAGAGAUAUAGUGUAAGUCAUGGUUAAUAACAGUUGAUGAAAACUCAGGGGCAUUGCAUAUAACAGUUUGAAAAUAGCCUUCUGGAGAGGACACGAAAUUCGAGUAGUACAUAAGUAGAGUCCUUGGAAGAUUAUCCCAACCCCAUAUGCAAUACUCUAUAAACGCGCGUGACAACACCGUCCAAGCUGAGCCUGUAACAAAAUUUGUCACGUGGUCAGUGAGGAUUCAUAUAGCCGACCCCAUACAUUGUUGUUGUUGUUGUUGCUUAUAGUUGUUCAGACAGAAUGUUGCAGAUCUAGGCUGGAGCUACAGAACUUCUUACAGGUUCGGUAGAACCUAAUAACUUUGGCCUAUGUUGCCCGGAUACUCCAAAAGUAGUGCGAUUUUGAAGAAUCUGUUACGAGUGUGGAAACAUUUUUGUAGAGUCGGAGCAACAUAUGCUUUGGCUAGACCAUGCAUUUGUGUUUACGAAAAUCUGCUUAAUAUGUAUAAAUAACUUAUCCAGAGCCAGUAAACCGCCUAUUCUAGAAUCCAGAAUCCAUAAACUCAAAAUCCUAACUCUGUCUCCGACCAUAUCAUAUAGUUCAUAUUCUAACAAAGUCAUUUCCAUAUAUACAUUAGAUUGGUAAAUUUGCUUAGUCAUGAGCUGCAUUUAUGCAAAAUUUAUCAUCAAUUCAUCAAACGACGAUACUAAGUAUGCAUAUCGAUCACAUCCAAAGAUUUCAGACGAGUGCCAAAUGCGUCUUAACAUGGUACUAAUAGUUUAGUUUCUCGACUACAACAACAAAUACGUCUUAGUUUCUCUAGUUGCCAUAAUUUAUAUGGUUACGAAAGGUUACAUAGCAGAUUCUGCUAUGAGGAAAAAAGACUACAACAACAACUCAAAAGGUUAUGGGAUCAAACAUAUAUGUUGACGUUAUGUUGCACUUUCUACUUGCAUUUGUACGGCGUAAAUAUCAGCAAACAUGUUCAAGAAGGCUAAAAGUAUUCAGAUUUAACUGUUGAAAUCUUACCAGUAAAGAGUUUAAAGGCUGUGGGAAGAGUUCUCCUUGGUGCAACCCAAAAUAUAUCAGACUUAGUAUUCUGAUACAGCCCGGGGUCUAUGAUAAGCGGCAUUGCCCUUUCCGACCUGCAAUAGGAUAAAUCGAGUAACAUUAAAGUUAACGAAUGAACUAUAAAUACAGACAAAGAACAAGUCAAGGAACUCGGUGAACAUACUCUUUCCAUCUCAACCGGCUUGUGUGUUCAAUGAAGUUUAAGUCACGUUUUAAUUGAGAAAACGCGUAGAGAAGAUCUGUAAAGCAAUAGAAUAAAUCACAUUUCACCUUCAAGUAAAGAAAACAGAAGAAUAAAUUGUCAGAACAUACUAUUUCUAGCUAUGUUGCUCGGAUUCUUCAAAAAUAUCGACAAUAGUGUGUCAGAUCCCCCAAAAGUAGUACAUUCUUGGAGUUUCCAACACGGGUUUGACAACAUUUUGAAGAGUACGAGCAACAUAAAUUUCUAGUAUGAGAGUUGAGAACUAACCAUCUUGAGUUAGCAGGGGAUAGUCAGAAGCACUCAGGUUAAUAAACCAAUCCCAAUCAGUAUACUUCUUCAAGAGAAUAGAGGCGGCGUGUAGAGUGUUAGAGACCAUGGUUGGACCCCGGUAUGUCACCAUGUUUGCUUUCGUAAUCAUGUGCACAUUUCCAAUCUUGGCAAAAACAGGUUCGUUUGCAAUUCUUGAAGCAAGCUCUAGUCUCUCCUCUGCUGCUGAUUUUAAGUCCAGAUGAACAAUGUAGUAAUUCCACGGAUGAUAUAUCGAUUUCAGCGUUCUCCAAAGCUGAUCUAGUUCACCUUUUGAUCCAGAUAUCAAAUAAGCAAAACGCGGAGCAGGAGGAGGAGGAGGUGGUGGAGAAGGUGGUGGAGGAGGUGAAGGAGGCGGAGGCGAACUUGGAGCUUGCUGAACUUUUACUUCAUCAAUAUACGGGCUAGUUUGAUUCUCCAUAACACAAGAUGGGAAAAUUGAGAAGACUGAAUUGAUCGUAUGCAACGAGGAAAUGAGGCCCAAGUCGAAGGAGGUAACAAGAAGGAAAAUAAACACAAGUGAGCUUAUUAUAAGAGGAAACAUCCAUCUUUUCUCCACGUUGAACGACCUCAUCGCUGGACCUUAUCAUGUAAGCUGACAAAUGAAUCUCUUUUCCCUUCUCUAAAGUCUACAACAAACAAAAGCCGGAGAGGCAGAGUUCGAACCUACCUAAAAAAAGAUUCAACAGAUUUACAAUCUGCUACUUUUGACCACUCGCCCCCUACAGUAUAUCCCUGAAGGAACGAUUGACAAUAGGUGGAUGAUCCGCCUCCGUGAUCUCAACACAGGAAGUGGAAUCCAACGGUUUAUCAACGAUUCGUUCACUCUGCCUUACUAGCUUCCUUCACUACCACUCAACUCUCAUUUACUAGACAAUCGUGAACCAAAAGGACCCUCGAGCCCCUCGAACCAAAAGAAUUGCCUUCUUCAAAAUGAUCCCCUUAUCUUAUACAUUUCUGCAUUUUCUGUUGAGAUCAAAAGCAACCAAAUCAAAGGUCAACAUCAACAAUUGUUUAAACUAAAAUGGUGAAAGAAAAUUUCUCAAUAAACCCUUAAACUGUCCAUGAGCUAAAAGUUGGUAGAAAGACAAAACAAAACUCUUGCAAUUGUAAAUACUAGCGGAGCCAAGAUAUUCACUAACGGAAUUCAAUAUAUAAAAAAGUAAAUGCACAAAGAAGCCAAGGGGAUUCAACAUAUAGUAUGUAUACACACAUAAAGAUAAACAUAUUUAACCUACAUACACAGUGUAAUUUUUCGACGAAUAUGUGUCAAUUGACUCCCCUUCGGCUAAGGUGGAAACACGCUAACGUCAACUAUACUAUAUUGCAAGAAUCUCUCAUCUAAGGGUACGGUGUGGCUAGUGGUCAAUGAAGUAUGGUUUAAGUACCAUAAGCUACAAAGUUACUUGAUAUCUGUGCUGGUGCGAGAUACCCUGAGGUAUAGGGUGUUGAAUUAGUCGACAUGCUUGCAAGCUUUCCUAGACACCACGGUUAUCAAAAAAGACAAAACAAGAAUCUAUUCAACUAUACUAUAUUCCAAUGGUGACAUCCAAAUGUUUUUUUAUAUAAAAAAAAAGUAAAAAUCCAAAUGAAUCUUUUUAGUAGAAUAAGCCCAGAAAUGUAAACAUCAGGACUGCAUUAUCAAACAAAUAAAAAACAUAGGCCAAUAUUAUUGUCCUAAGAUAAUAAAUUAAACAAAUUCAGAUUUGCAAUUUUUCUAAAACCCCAAAAGGGGCAGGAAAAAAAGAAAGAAUCUAAUAUAAUAAUUCCAGAAAAAAAGAGACUAAAUACAUAAAAUCAUAUAUACACAUAAUUUUCAUAUAAUUCGAGUUCGAGUUAUCCCCAUUACUGUUUAUAUCCUGGAUCUACCUCUAUCGUUAUUAAAAAAACACUUAAAAUGUACAAUACAUAGAGAGAAAAAAAAUCAAUUUUACAUAACAUUUGACAGAAAUAAAAUUGAAAAAAAUACCUUUAUAUUGGAAAAUGAAAUGAUGAAUGAAAUUUGAUGUGAAAGAGAAGAAGAUCCCACUUCAGUUUGGUGUUUUUCUUUGAGCUAUUUUCUAUUAACUGAAUCCCGGGAAAACAUACUAACAAUUUAUGUAUAUUUUAUAUAAUUCAUGCAUAAUUAAUUUGAUUGUAAAUUAAGGGUGUGGUCGGUACAGACGAAAAUAAGUGAAUUUCUUACUUAUUUUAUUUUUAUUUUUGGUAUAUAUCAUCAAAACAUUAAUAUAUAAUCUAGAGAAAAAACUAUGGGAGGUGGGGGUGGGGUAAGUGGUGUGGAGUGGUGGGGUGGUAGGGACUAUAGGAGUGAGGCUGUGAGGGUGAAGAUCGAUGAGGUGGGGAGGACACAAUUAAAUCAAAUGUGGAAUGCCACUUGUAGAAUUUAUUUUUCCUACUUAGAAAACUCGGUCGUUCUCUAGUAACAUUUUAAGUUAUUCAUUUUUUCUUUAGUUUUGCUUCAAUGUUUUGACAUUUGCUUAUAAAUAUGUCACCUACAUCACACCCCUUUUGUAUAAUAAGAAAGAUUGUUUCGUACUUACUAGAGUCAUACAUGUUUAUAACAAUCAUUCUCAAUAAUAAUAUUUUACUAUAACGAUUUGACUUUCAUUUUGCAAAUGAACUUUUCUACAAUACCACCUCACUAUACAUGUCAAAAAAAUCCAAUGCCAUUACAUUAACUGACAUAUUGCACUAAAUUGCUAUGUUGUUGUACUUUUCUUAGAUUCUUCAAAAAAUGCACUAUUUUUGGAAAAUCUAACACACAUCUGGCGAUAUCUUUCAAGAAUUCGAGCAACGGCUGAACAACAUUUCCAUCCGUGUAGGAUUCAAGACAACACAAUCCUGUUUGUGGAAUUACAAUGAAUAUGUUGUUAUACAUGGGGUUUGGGGGGGGGGGGGGCAUAGUCCAUGUUUAGAUCUCUGAAAAGGACUUGACUGUCCUAAAUCCAUGAUUAUCUGGAAGAGGUCCAUUCCCUGGCCUGACAGAUAUUAUCACUUCCAAACCUGAAUGAAGAAAAGGGGGUUAAAAAGUUCAAUGAUAUAUAUAUAUAUAUAUAAGCGGUUCAAGAGAACACACUUUUAUUUACUUGAUUAUAUUCUCCACAUGCCCCUCACGUGUGGACCUGAUUCUAUUUUCAUUAGCCAAGGACAUGAAUAUUUUUCUUAAUAAUGGGUGACAAUGAGAUUAAAUCCCAGGACAUUCCCCUACUUUGACACCGAUUUUGUUGAGAAAGAAGUAAGAAGAAACAGCAAAGUGAGUACAUGAAAUUCAUUUGGAUGCCCCUAGAGCUUGGUAUAGCUAGCUAAUUUCAACAAAAGGAGUACGUGAAAAGUGAGAGGUUUAAUCUAUUUACCGAACACUUGACCUGAUAUUGCAUUUUCUGUUGGUGUUAUUUCCAUGUUUAUGCAAUAACCUUCAAAUGUUCAUUAUAGAUCAGCAAAUAGGCUACGGUUAAUUGCUGGAACCUUGGAGUAUGGCAUUUAGUACUCCAAGAUUUCUAAUCUCAGAUUGUGUGGGUACACAGACAGUGAUUGGGCACGUUCGUUGGAUGAUAGACAUAGUGCUCCAACAAAUGUUUUCCUCUAGGUUCAGGACUGAUCAUUUGGAGCUAUAAGAAUCAAGCUACAGUAGCAUUUUCGACAUCAGAGGCUAAGCAUGUGGCAGCAGUUUGUUCACAUCUUAACCGUUAAGUGUUUUUCAACCACUUAAUGGAUCUGAAUAGAUUCGGAUGAUUAAGAUCUACAACAAAAUCUUAAAUGUCAUUAAGAUGUCUAUCAAAACAUUUCUAAAAAAUUGACAGUUUACCACUACUCCAUCCACUCACACAGUAAGUCAUUACCACCACUAGCCGCCAUUAACAAUCAUGACCACCAACCAUGCACCAUUACCAUAACAACCACCCAUCUCUACCGACAAUCACCAAUAUAUAUCAUCAACCGUUGUCAUCAUUCACCACCAUCAUUGGCUAUCAUAACAUUCACUACAAUUGUCAACCGCCACCACCAACUACCACCAUCAACAAUCAUUGUUUAACCGCUUAAUACUAGCCACCAUCAUCACUAACCACAACAACGACCACCACCAUCUGCUAAUUUCAUCCCUAAUCGACAUCUACAACCACCACUAACCCUAUAUAAUUUUUUUUCGAUAUAGUAUUAGAUUGAUUUAGUAUUUUAUAUUUAUUAUAAAAACAAGUUUUAUACAUUCAGAUGUUAAGAAAACAGUCUUAAUUAUUUAUUAUUUGACAGCAUGUACCACCAAAGAUUGUGUUGGGGUGGUAAAUACCUCUUUAUCUUUAACAAGAGGUCUCUGAUUCGAUCCUGAUAAACUUUAUCCCCCAAAGUUAGAGUUCUAGGCGUGAAUUCAUAUUAGUCGGGCUCCAAAAGAGGUACUAGACACCAGGUGGGAAACAAAAGAAUAUAUGACAGUGAGCACAUGUUUAAUCAUCAGAAAAUAUUUUGAUUUAGCGUUGUAUAACAUAUAAUAAUAUUGUUGCAACUAUUUGUUUUAAUGGUAAGAAGGGCAAUAGGUUGAAACUCAGAAACAAAGUAGUUUUCAUAUAAAACAACCAGAAUUUACCUGCUGGCUUUGCAGCUAUAGCUUCUUGAUAGACGUCAGUCACGAACAAAAUCUCGGAUGGGUGAUCUACCCCCAAGGAUGCUGUAAUUUCAUGGUAACUUUUUGUUUCUUUCUUAUUCCUACAAGUAAUAGAAGUAAUUUAACUUACUUAAAAUGACAAGAGAGAUCCGGAUACCACCUCAAAAUUGGAGAUGUGGCUUGAUGAAAGGUAGAAAUUUACCCUACUGUUGUAUCGAAAAAUCCACAGAGAUAUUUUCUCAGGUCCCCAUAGUUUGUGUAACCAAACAAAAGCCUUUGUGCCAAUCUGCUGCCACUUGAGUAUAUGUACACCUUAGGAACAAAACAGCUAGUCAGUUUGGCCAGAAGCUGGAGAUAAGAGGUUAUAGACUUUGUAACACACCUUUUGUCAGGAUAAUGAAGAAGAAAAAUGCGCUUAAUGCAGCAAGCUGAAGCCGUUAAUACAACAACAGUUAUUACUACGUCUUAGUUACAAACAAGCUGGAUCAACUAUAUGAAUCUCGACUUCUUUCUUGAAGCUGGUAUAUGAAUCCCCACUUCUUUAGUUAAACUCAAAUAAAAUCAUCAUCAUAACAAAAAAGUAAAAAACAAAUUUAUACACACAUAUAUAUUAAUAAUAAUGACAAAAAUAGUAUUACAUGUUCUCCAACAAGUCGAAAAAUUAUUCCCAACUAGUAGAUAUCACCUAUACAUAUCUUUUCCUUCCAUUGUACCUUAUCUUUAGCUAAAUCUACAUUGACUCCAAGAAUUUGUAGCUCUUUCGAGACAACUUCCUUCCACAUGAUUUAGGCUGAAACCAUUUAUAUUAGAAGAAAUUCCUUAAUUUUUUUAUAAGGGACAAAAGAGAAACUCCUUUGAUCAUAAUCAAACAUUAAGUCUUCAUUUGCAACUACAACUGUAUGAAACUAGAGCUCAUUAAAAAAGUGAAAUACUCAAGUGCAGAAAUGAUGGGCAAACGAGAGGAACCUUGAUGCCUGAAGCAGCCCAUCUCUCAAGAGCUUCGGGCACAUCAUCAAAAACAACUCCCUCUAACUCGUUAUUUUUAAACCCCGUUUGCCAUAUAUGCCCCUGAGUAACAGAAUAUGAAGACCAGCACAAAUUGUAAGGAACAUGUGUUGAAACUGAGAAACCAUAAAACAUUUGGACGGGAUGAAGGAACAAAUAAUUUUACCACAGAUCUCCUCACCUGUAACUCCUUUAAGGCAGUAAUUUUCCGGUCAGCUUUAAUCAUUGCCUCAACAUUUUUUACCAAAGCUGCAAUUACCUUCUCCUUCCCAGCAUCAUUAGAGGGGAUAGGCACAGCACCGGCAACACCAUUUUCCAAGUCUUCUUGUACCUGAAAGAAGAAUGUAAAGGGGGCAAAAUUCAGUUGCCUUUACAGCAUAGUACCUAAUUAUGAAUUACAGCUUCUUAAGUCCAACGUGUAUAUUAGAGAGUUUCUACUUGUGACAAAUGUCGAAUCGUGUUUUAGUUAAAAAGGGAUAGCACCUAUUUUUACGUAAUAAUGGAUACAAUAUACAAAGACAAGAUCUAGAACACCAGCUGAGUCGUGGAUUUUACUUCUUAAAAUAUAUAGUGGGGUUCCAAUUUUAUUCAGCUUUAGUUUUCAUAUCUUAGUCUUAUGUGUAUUGUCAUGUAAGAGGAAAACUUGAACCUAACUCUAAUGCUAUUCCUAAUCUUGAAAGUAUUGAAGUCAUCGACAGAAGCACCACUCCUUCCUCAAUGCCCUUGUUAUCCAACACGUCGGCAACCCAAAUGGGCUUGAGGAAUACCCUUUCAUCAUUUCUCUUUCUAGUAUAAUUGAAUUCAGAAAUGCAAAGCACACUCAGCAUAGUAUUAUUGUCAAAAAAUGGCUAACAUGUGGUGUUGUGAGUGUAAAACAAACAUUUAUUUCCUUGCAAGUGGGAAAUUCAAGUGGAUAGUACCGAUUUAAUGGAUGUGUAAUAAUAUAUGUAAUGAAUCAUGACCAUUUAGAAGAGGUAGGGAGUGUAAACAAUCCACUCAGCUCAGCUUGGGUUAUUUAGAGAGUAGCUCGAGCUCAAAUUGAGAUCAACCUAUCAUGAAAUCUGCUCUCAGAAUUUUCUCAGAAAGUUAGCUUACUUGAGCUCUUAGUAGUUCAAUAUCCUCCUGGGUUUCUGCCAAAUCAUAUGUUGCAUCCAAAUGUCUCCCCACAUUAUCACGAGCAUAAGGAAAAAGAACAUCCGUAACAAAUGAUAUGGGCGUUGUGGUUCCUUCAAUAUCCAAAACAAUGCAGCGCUGCACCAAACUAUAAAAAUUUACUAUGCAGUCAUAUGACACUUAAUUACAUGCAUAUAAAGCUUAAAUCAAAAUCAUAAAUUUCAAGAAACUAGAGAAUGGUCCAAAAUUUUCAAAUGUUUACCCUUAAUGGCUCAAUGUCACCAUUUGAAGCAAGAGCACCUGCUUUUGCAGACAUCUUGACAUUUUGAAUGCUGCUUAAAGCACCAUUAGAGUUAGGAAUAGGACCAUGAGUUGUUGUUGUCCAGUCCAGUCCGAACUGAUUAAACUUAACUGUGGCAUCAUGAUAGCGAUGAUUCAAUUGUACCUUUAAAAACAGAGGAGCACAAUCAGAAUACUUGGGAGGCUUAUGCGGGUAAGAUGUGGCCAAUGGCGCAGAUAACACAUACAUAUCCUCUUCCACCAUCCUUUCCUUCUGCACCCCUGAUCAAACAACCCAAAAUACACACAGAACUCAAAGAAGAUAACAGAAAGCAAAGUUCAAGAUUUAGUAGGGUAACACAGGAAAAAUAUCAAACUUAGUCCCUAUUUUCACCAAACCAAACUAAUCUGACUUUAGGAAUAUUUUUUGAUAACCUUGAAGUUUGACCCUUAGUGGAAGUUGCUCAAUUCUGGUGGGAGGUAGGAGCUAAGACCACGGGCGGAACUAGCUAACAACCAGUAGCUUUGGUUCGAAUCCUUGCUAAAUAAAUACAGAUAAUAUAUUUCGAACUUAAUAAAUCAAACAAGAAUCAUGAUGAUUUAAAUUUAGGAUCUGCCUCUCAUUCUAAGAGUAGGGGCGCAUGCAGCUAUUUAGUUGUGGGUUGAUCUAAACACAAUACUUUUGAUGCAGAACAUAAAUUUAUGUGUAAAAAUCAACUAAAAUUAGGAUAAAUAAGAGGCAUGAACCCAUAAUUUUUUUUAGAGUUUCCUAACUGAACCAUCAUCAACUACUUAUCAAAAACAUAAUAAAUAAACGUGUCAUUUAGCUUAGAUAUAACUGACAUCUAUGUCCUCCAACUUUAGGUAUCGACAAGUAGAGACUUAAACUUGCAUAAAAUUAAACAAAUAAACACAUGUGUCCUACGUAGCAAUUCACGUAAGAUACAUUCGAAGUGAUUUCUAUUACGCAGGGCACAUAUUAUGUCAUGUAGGACGCAUGUGUCUACUUGUUCAAUAUUAUACAAAUUUAAACGCCCACUUGUUAACACUCAAAGUUAGAGAGCAUAAAUGUCAACUGAAGCUCAAUUAAAAGAUACGUUCAUGUAUUAUACCUUUCAAAAAAGAUAGGAGCAAGACUCCUUACACACCACCCUCAUUAUACCCACACGGGGAUUAGUGAUUACACUAGGUAUGUUAUGUAUUGUAAAAUUUAUCAAAACACAGCUCAACUAUUCGCCGUUCUCUUUUCCUAUGUAAAAUAAUGAGCAUAAUUUAAUACAAUGGAUUCAACCGUAGAGCUUAAAUUUUGGAUCCGUCUCUAAAUAAGAUGUUAAAUGGGUGCUUACCUGAAGGGGAGAUGACGAUAAGUUGUUGAGGUUUAGGAAUUGAGUUAUCCUGAACUUCCAAGUAUGAUUGUGAAUUUGUCGCCAUUUUUAGAGCUCCGUUCAUUGCCAUUAAUGGCGCUGCUGAAGCUAUAGCCAUAUCUGCUCUCUACUUCAAUUGAAUAGCGAUGUGUUGGAUAUUUCUCUGUUUAAAAAAUGCAAUACAUUUGGAUAAGAAGAAGACAAUAAAGUACAGUAAAAUUAGUUUAUAAUAAAUAUACAAUAUUUUAUAGAUAUAAAAAAUAAAAUAUUUUUUAAGUGUAUUGUUUACAGUCCGUGUUAGGUAAAGCAAAAUCGCCGUCUCCCUAACACAAACCCUAACACAAAUGAGUAUGAGUAUGGCAGAUGAAGCGGAAGACGCCAUAUUGGCAUAUCUCAAAGACAACGAUGAGAUUUCAAAUUCUGCUGACUUUGCCCAGGAUUUGGGUUUUAGCCAUGACGACAUCGUCAAUGUCAUUCGCAGACUCCAUGGCUUUCGACUUGUCGAUGCUAAGGUACUUUUUUCCUAGUUAAUUUUCGUCCUGUCUAUUCAAAUUUGAUUUGAUUAGAGAAUUGAAGUAUUAAGCUCCAAAGCAAAAAUGACUCUGAAUUAUAAUUUGGAAGAUUUGAAUUUGUUGAAUUGUGCAGGACAUUAGGAGAGAGAGAUGGGUGCUUACUGAAGAGGGGAAAACUUAUGCUGCUGUAGGUUCUCCAGAAUUUCAGCUUUUCUCAGCAGUACCACCGGAGGGAAUUGCGCGGGAAGACUUGCAGGUUUGCACCGUAUUUGGUUUUUAGUGUUUUUACUAAGUUUUUCUUUUCAUGCGCUAUUGCAGAUUUCUUUUACAUCAAACAGUACAAAAUUAAAGAUUUGUGAGCUCUCUUUUGGCUAAUCGUCUAUCUGGAUGCAGAAAAAAUUGGAUCCUGCAGUUUAUAAAAUUGGUUGUCAGCAAGCUAUAAAGAACAAGUGGGUGGAGAUGGCAAAAACACUUGUGUCAAAGAAGGUACAGUAGGCAGUUGCAUAGGAGUAUAAUUUUGCUCCUUUUAUUUUAUUUUAUCGCAACUGUAGUUUUUCUCAUCCUCCUCUGUAUGUCUAAUUUAUCAUUCUUUGUUAUGACCGCAGUUUUUUAAUUGAUGAAAAACUGUACCUUCUCCCAAUCCGUGCCUAAAACAAAAUUUUAUAACCUUCGGUACCAAAAGAUUAUUCCCUUGUUAAGCUUGCUUCUUUGUUGCUUGAUCGUCUCUCAUUUGGAGUUGCUUAUCUCUGCCUCUCAAUCACCAAACUCGUCCCGCAUAAUUCAUUUUGAUAGGUAGUAGUAGUAUUCCUGUCUUUGUAACUUCAAUUUUGUUUUCAACCUCACUCUACUUAAAGUUUUUAAUUUUAAUCGAGUUUCUUCUCCUAUCCCUUCUACUUGAGCUUGUAAGUGCAAAAGACAACCAUCCUGAAGAUUAGGACCCAAUUGCCUCCAAUACUUUUGAGAGCAAAAUAUGUGGAAAUCUAUGAGUAGCGACCCUUUCUCUGAAAGGUUUUUUUCGUGACCCUUCCGCUAUAAGGUUUUUCUUUAGAGAAAAGAGGCGAGAUAAAUGGACUAGUCUCAUCAUGUGACCUUGCCUAAAUGAUGAAUAGCAGUUUAUCUAGUCCUUGAUCUCCAGUGGUUCUUGCUUGGGGGACUAGGGUAGUCAAAUAAUCAGGAAUCCCCUCAUGCAUCAUGAUGACAAUGAAGGUCUGGAAAAGCCUUUAUUACUUGCUUAGUACCAGUUCUUUAGCGAUAAUAACGUUUCAUUUCUAGCCUAUAUUCAACAUUAUUAAAUAGUAACUGGCCCUCGACUUCCCUUGUGGUGGUUCCAGGAUUUUUCUGUUUCUCCUUCUAUGUUUUGUUGCUGCUUAUUGUUUGCCAUCUACUUCAGUUUAUAGCACAUGGCCUUCUUUUGUUUUACUGUUUUCUUUCCUUAUCCAUAUAUGUUGAAUGAGGUCUCUGAGAACUAUAAUGUAGAGGCAGCAAGGGAAGGUGACAUCAACAUGUGCUUAUAUUAAUACUUCUUACAGGGCUACCUUUUAGUCUAUUUGUUGACUUCAUGUAGGUCCAACAUGCUGAUGACAAAGUUAAAAAUUUGCUGUUGCGGAUACAAAAUGACGAGGUAUAUAGUUUGUAGCCAGUGGUUAUCUUAUUCCCCAACCCUUCACUUUUUGCUUUCCUUUCAUCUUUACUAAUAGCUCUCCUCCUACACAGGAAAUUAGUUAUGGUUUUGUAGCUAGUUGACUAUUAUAUGAAUCAAUUUGACUGUAACAAAGCAAUGCUUUGCAGGCUGUCAAUCAGGAAGAUAUUGAUGCUCUAAAGCGAAGAAAACUAACAAUUCAGCAGUAAUUAUCUAUUCUUUAAUAUCCUUUCUCCAGCACUUGACGUUUACAAGAUGUAAUGUUACAAUUAUCCUAAUACGUGUUCAAAUGUCUGCUCUUUCUAGGGUUUGGAAAGGAAAUUCCGUAAGAAAAGGUCCCGAAUAUGCCCCCAAAAGGAAAAGAGCAGCGACUGAUCUCACUCGGGAAAAUUUACAGAGGUAACUUUCUGACUCAUUUGGAUAGAAAAAACCGUUAGUUCCUCAUAAAAAGAUAGCUAGGUCAUUCAGUUAUGCGCACAGCUCGGGUUAAAUUACUGGAAAAAUUAGUAGUUUGGAAUGUGAUAGUCAGCUUUUGGAUAAUGCCUGAAUAGGGAAUUUGUAUCAAUUGUUAAGGCAGUUUGAGCAUAUUAUUCAGUCCUCGGUUUUGAACUAUAAAUUGAAGAGUUGGUAAAUGCUCUAUAAUUUAAUCAAAUGCCAAAAAUUGACGGAGUUUGACAUUGUUUUUGAGUUUGAGAAGUCCCUACGUGUGGAUCUCCAGGAAAGUGUACCUUUGUAGCUUUUUCUUCAGAUUCGAACCCUAGCACUUACGCUUCAGAGUUUCAACUGUCCCGGAGUUUCACAUGUAGGAUUUUCAAACUCUAAGACAAUGUGCUUGAGUUUUUUUGUGUUUUAGCUUUUAGAGUACUUUACUUCCACAUUUCUACCAGUUUUCAUAUGUGGUCUAUUUAUCAAUUACUAGUCAAAAAAGUGGUCAGCACUUGCUAUUUUUAUGUUUAAAAAAACAAAACAAAUUCAUGGGCUGGGUAAAUGAGAGAAGUUAAUAUGCAGUUUUCACAGAUGGUUUCGGAGUAUUCAAUAUUUAUUUCAUCCAAAUUCAUGUGUUUGAAUAAUUAAUCUAAGUAGGGAUGCACUAAUUCCAUGAUGGACGAAGCAUUUAGUUUAUUUUCUAAUUAACAUAUGUUGCUUGUUCUUUUGAAGGGGUGACUGGAAGGAAUUGGAAUUUAAAGAGUACAACUUCAGUGCUAAAGGUCAGCCAGUUGAAGGCGGCCAUCUUCAUCCAAUCCUCAAGGCAUGUUUUGGUUCCCUUUUUCAUUAGUGAUUGUUGUUGUGGCCUUAAAUGAUUUUUUACUGUUACCUAACUGAGGCCAAAUUGCCUUCCCUCACGUGUUGAUUAAAUCUUACCAUCUUGUUGCAGGUUAGGCGGCAGGUACAAACGAUUUUUCUUAAUAUGGGGUAUGACUAAAUGACCUUUUCUCAUGUCUAUAUUUGGAGGCUGCAUUCCUUCUAAAAGAUUUCUAUAUAUGGAGGCUGUAUAAAUGCAUGUGUGUAGAUGAAUGUGUCUAUAUAUAUAUUUAGUUAUUUAUUUGGAAAUUCUCUGUAGUGGACUGUAAGUGCAAUAUUUCAUUUGAAUUGUGCAGGUUUGAGGAGAUGCCAACAAAUAAUUAUGUCGAAAGCAGGUAAGCUAUUAUUUAUUUUGUUAGUCUUUUCCCCAGUCAUAAAUACAAGUGAGCCCUUCAUAAUUGAUGGAACAUCUUCCCAAAGUAAAAAGUUGUUGGGCUAUAUGAAAUAACUGAACUAGGAAAAUGGCGCAUUUCCUUCCUUGCCUUUUUACUUUUUAUCUGAAUAACUGGAGGGGACAUUUUCUUUGCAUGGCUCUUAGUUAAGAGGUUGAUAUGUAAAUAUUUUGAAUCAAAUCCUACUUUAUCCUCCAUUAGAGAUACAUGUUUUGGCUGUUGUCAUUUUACUUGCUAAAGUUCCUACUUCCUAGUACAUAACAGUUUCAAAGUACCUCUUCUGUAAACCAAUUUUCUAAAUACUAUUGUUUCAUGUCGAACAUUCACGAUCUUUUGAUGGUAAACAAUCAAAUUUAUUGAAGAUGGAUGGUAAAAUAUAGCUAUACAAUAUUCAUGAGCUUACAAGUUCAAACUGAUGGCAAAACCAUAAAUUUCACAACGUAAUCCAUUUAGGAGUCUUCUCUGGUGUAUAGCUAGUGGUGAUUUGUGCACUGUCAUGCUCUCUUAGAAAAAAUUGUUAGGAUUAGUAUUUGUUUUAAUCCUUGUCAAAGAAGUAUAUGUCAAUGUGGCUGGUCAUAAUUUGCAGUUUUUGGAACUUCGAUGCACUUUUCCAGCCCCAACAGCACCCUGCCCGUGAUUCACAUGAUACUUUCUUUUUGAAAGGUUAGUUUGACUUUACAUUUUAUCUGCCUCAUCUGAGUUUCUUCUAAUGAAUUAUUUGUUUGAAUUAUAGUGCCUUCCUCUACAAAGAUGCUGCCAGAAGAUUAUGUUGAGCGGGUAAAAGAAAUUCAUGAAUCUGGUGGUUACCAAUCUAGGGGGUAUGGUAUUCAAUGUCACUCACACUUGUCAAGGUUUUGGCAAAUUUAUACUCAGUUUUUAACAGUUCUUCUUGCUUAGAUAUGGGUAUGAUUGGAAAAGAGAGGAAGCGAACAAGAAUCUUUUGCGGACACACACUACUGCUGUUUCGACAAGAAUGUUGUAUGCAUUAGCUCAGGUCUAAAUGGCUCACCUUAUCCAGAAUCAUAGUUUCAUAUAUUGAUUUUACUUCGUGCAUUUUAAACCUGUGCUAUACAUAAUUGCAGAAGCCAUUCGCCCCCAAGAAAUACUAUUCUAUUGAUCGUGUUUUCAGAAAUGAAGCAGUUGAUCGGACACAUCUUGCUGAAUUUCAUCAGAUAGAAGGUUGCUAUAUAGUUAUACUAAUUUCGUGUCGUUCAUGUUUUCCUGUUCCUUGUUAUAUUAUUUUCUUCUCUUGUUCUUCUAUGGUACCAAACCUUUAGCUCAGAUAGACAGUGGUCCUUGAAGUGCCAGCAAAACUGAUUUAUCGUCCUAAUUCCCAACUACUGGUUGAAUUCCUCAUUGUAGAAUUAUAAUGAGCUGUGCUUUAGAUACUUUAUGAACAUUGGCUUGGUUUCUGUUUUAGGUCGGAAAAGUAGGGAGCACUGAAGAGUAUUUCUGUUGCUUACUAUGACAGCACAUUAUCAAAGAGCCAAUACCCCUCUUGACAUAUGACAAUUAGGGUGCAGUUUAGUUCACAUACUAAUUAUACAAGGAUUGUUACGUGAAUUAUAAUGUAGGAAUUGUUUAUAUGAUGAAUAAUAAUUACAUGGAUUGUUUUGUAGAGAUUGUCUACUUUAAGGGGUCUUUAGAUAUGCUUAUUCCAUUUUUUCAUGCAUAAAUUUCGCAUGAGUGGUGUUACCUAAGCACAGUUUGAUACAGACUAAACACUGUAUUAGUUAUCUACUAGUUCUAUACUGAAAACCAAAUGUUGUGUUAGUUAUACGAAGCUUUAAUUAGCAUUCAGAGUUUUAUGCUGUAAACCAAAUGUUACACACUUUCCUUUAACUAAAAAGACUUCUCUAUGCUAUUUAUUCUGUACUGUAGGUGAUUACAACGCCAAUAUGCGACUUUAGAUUGUAUUUGUUUCAUAGUUCUUAGGUGAGAGGUACUACUUGUGUUAAACUCUGUGUUAGGUAGUAGUGUAAGUAAAUCUUAUUCUUUGUUUGCUUUUUAUUCCUGUUAACAGUUUCAUGAACAUAUUAUCAUGGUUUCUUAUUCCAGGUUUAAUAUGUGAUCGUGGACUUACUCUUGGUGACCUGAUUGGUGUUCUUCAUGACUUCUUUUCUCGUCUAGGUGACCAACUAACACAACACUGCACUUGUAUUCUUGCUUAUGUUCUAUUUUUAGUACAUCAAUGUCUGCUCAAGUCUUGGUUUCAUAGAAAAGAUAAAGCUUGCAUUGAUAUCACGUCCAACUCAAUUUACAGGAGCUCUUAAUUUUGAGAAGGCUAAUUAGUGGUUUACCUUUCUUUUUGUAAUUACAGGAAUGUCCAAGCUUCGGUUCAAACCUGCUUAUAAUCCUUAUACUGAACCCAGCAUGGAAAUUUUCAGGUUGUAGUAGUAUCUUUGAUGUGAAUGCACAAUUGUUCAACUCAGCAUUAAUUUCAUAUCCUUUUGUUUGUCAGCUACCAUGAAGGCUUUAAGAAAUGGGUGGAAGUUGGAAAUUCUGGUAUGUUUAGGCCUGAAAUGCUUCUUCCUAUGGGUCUGCCAGAAGAUGUUCGGGUUAUUGCCUGGGGCCUUUCCCUUGAGAGGUAUACUAUCUGUUAGCAGCAACAUGUUGUUACUUAUAAAUUAAAAUGAACUUGCUGUACCUAUGUUGAUGUGAAUGCACAAUUGUUCACAUGUUUUGUUGAAGCUUAUUUUGCUUGUCUUUGUGCAUCAGGCCCACCAUGAUUCUCUACGGAAUUGACAACAUCAGAGAUCUUUUCGGUCCCAAGGUAUAAUUGGCACUGUGGUAGAAUUUCUCAACGAUGUCAAUGUUUGACCUUGUUCUGUGUUUGUUUUUUCAGGUGGAUCUAGGUCUCAUCAAAAGAAAUCCAAUAUGCCGGCUUGGACUUUAGUAUACAACAUCCUGUGUUGGACAUUGUUUAUGGUUGAGGUAAGAUUUUUGUGCUGGGCAAUCAAGUUGAGAUGUUUUUGUUGAUACAAUUGUGAAGAUUAAAUAUCAGAUGGGUGGGACUGGGAGCUGUGUGUAUUCAAGUUUUUUUAUGUUAUAACUAGAUUUAGUCCCUUCCCUUCAAUAUACUUAUUUUGGGUUAUCUAAGGAUAGGUUGCUCCUCCUUGAAUCAUAUGACUAUAUACUCUAAUGAGUCAAAUAUAUAUUUCCCAAAGACUCUUAUUUGUUUUAAUUUUAAAUGCAUUCAACUUCUCUUAUAAUUCUAUAAACCCAUUUUGGAUAAUUUGAAACUUAUAAUAUGAAGAUAUAACUCUAAUUUUUCAUAUAUUACUAAGAAACAUUGGAAUCCUCAUUACUGUAUCAUUAUAAGAAACAACUUAUAAUAAAGGUUACAUGUUCCCAACGGAGUCGGAAAACACAUCCUCAAUAUCACAAAAUCCAUGGAGAGCAAACUUGAAAAUAUAUGAUACUGAUUUAGUAUCAUAUUAGUUGGGGUAUAUAGUGUAAUUAUUUAAUGGGAUAUGAAUGUAAAGCCGUAUAUGUUUGUAAUUAUUUUAUUUUUAUUUAUGAGGUAUUUGCUUAGUUUGCCCUAUUAUCUUUUGCAACAUGUACAAGUAAGUCAUCCCAUAUCACUCCUACCAGUUGGACCAGCCCAGAACCGGUUGAAACUGGCCAGCAUAAGAAAGCCCAGAAUUGGCCCAAAAAGUUAUUGGGUCAGAAGACGGCCCAAGUUUCACGUGUGGGUUGGGCUAGCCAUUUUCUUGUCUAAAGCAGCAUUAUAGUCGGGUACAUUAAUUAGAGAUUUCGAGUUCGAAUUAUAAGAAUGAAGUCAAUUUCACUAGAAAAUGUGUUUACCUUAAAAUGGACUUUUUCGACAUGAUUAGUCUAAGUAAAAAGUAGUACUGCCUCAAACAUGCAGAGAGUCGGACUCAGGAUUUUGAGCGCAACGGGGGAACACUAAAUUAAGUACCACUGAGGUUCGAACUCAAGCUACACAAUCUAAUAAAUAUGUUUGUGAGGUCUUUUUCAACUAUAGCGAAUUUAUCUUGCUAUAUGUUGUUCUUGUCUUUUUUUUUUUGAUAACUGAGAAAUUCGUCUGUGUAUGUUGUUCUUGUCUUUAUAGACACAAUAUCUGGUGAAAACCCAAAACAAAAAUUUAUCUUUAAUUUGUUUUAUAUUAAUUUUAAUUUGUUAGUAUAAAUUACUUUACCCCAUUAAUUACGUAACACAUAUGAACUCACACGCACAAAAAAAAAACAAUAGAAUAAUAUUUUGCAGACAUAAGAAAUUGAAAGUUUGACCAAAUGUUUGGUGAAUCAUAGAUCUUAUUCUUACAAGUUAGAGAGACUAAUUUUGCUAUAACACAAAAUAAAAAAAGUAACAGUAGCUACAAUAAAAUAAGAACAAUUACUCCUAAUCUCCUAUAUUAUCAUCAGUAUUUGUAUUUUGUACCCAAAAAUAAAAUGAAAAACAUGAGUCAAUUAAUACACCACAAGGAUAAUACAUAUCCAGUGGAACACGUUGUAAAUUCAAAAUUACUUAUAUUAGACUUUUUUUUAAAAAAAAAUUACUUAUUAUAUAUUUAUAAUCUAAGUAACGCUCAAGUGAUACAAUGAAUGAAUAUCAUUCAUAGCCAAAGACUUUUCCUGGUAGGGACUUUUUUUUUAUUGUUAUGUGACACUCAUGACGGAGGGCCGGGUUGAUGAGGACAAAUAAAAAAAAAAAUUCAUCGCACCAAAUAUAAAAUCAUUCAUGAUUAUAUUUUGUCAAAUAACAUCACAUCAAAUAUGAAUAUAAGUAAGUAUAUAUAAUUCACACAAAAGUAUAUAUUACGUAAAAAGGAAUAAUAUUGAUGGCAUGUGUCAAUUGGACUUUUUGUGAUAAACGUGAUGUAACAUGCCUUAUAUAUUAAAUAAUACUAUAUAAUAGUCAUUUUUGUCACAUAGUAAGUUUGUAACAACACGUUUAGAGUUUAACUCGAGCAUCCAAGAUGAAUCAAUACUAAUCCUAUCACGUUACGAUUUUAUGCAUAAUUCUAUAUAUAUAUAUAUAUAUGAAAUCGAGUAUAAAAUAUUGCAUAAUUACUCGCUUUAAAUUGAGUAUUCGUUUUCUUUUUCUUUUUUGCUAGGACUGAAAAUCAGAUAUCUAUUGUUCAUAUGAUUAAGUUCUUUGGAUUUUCGAAAUAGUGUAAGAAAAUUAAUGUACUAGGGGUGGGUUGGAAAAAUAUUGGUCGAUAUAAUACAUCGUACGACUCAACCAAUUUUGGAAAUGCAUCAUUAAUUGAGGAGUUUCAUCAUUAAAUUAUCGACCCAUUGUUUAGCUUAUAUAUAAGAAAACAAAUAAAGAUUUUUUAUUAUAUAUAUAUAUAUAUCUACCCGUUCAUAUUCUUUCCAGACUAUCUAUAUAUUUUUCACUCUUAUAUAAUGACUAAUGACUAGACACAAAAUUUAAAAAAAGGAAAAGAGACAUUUGAAACUUAGUCUUAAAAACUAGCCAUGACGUUUGCUUGGAAUAGUGACGUUAAGAGUUAAGAGUAAAUAAGAAAUCUAACUUUAAAUUGUUUCAAAAUAUUUUAAAAAAUAUAUUUUCCAACAAAUAUAAAGGCAAUAGUAUCACAUAGUAAAAUGAAACAGAGACAAUAAUAAUAGUGUAUAAACAAUAUUCACAUCGUUGGGCUAAUAUAUGCAUAUUUAAAGCAUAUACUUGGAUUUAACUGAAUUAAUUAUUUUCAACUUAAAAAAAUAUGUAGAUAUAUAUAAAUAGAAAUUCAAAAUGUAUACAUAUAUUUAAAAACCACAAUUUUGAACCACUCACAUCCUCAGACAACACAAGCAAAAUCCAUUAAAAUGAUAUAUUCAAAUUAGGCCUCAAUUAUUGUUGUUGUUUAAUUGAAUACGAAACUUGUAUUAUAAUUUUGAGAUUUGAAAAUUUUCUAUUUUCUAUUUUAGAUCAUCUUUUAUUGAGCGUUGAAAAUGAAAUAAGUCCUGAUGGAACAAAACGGAUAUAUUUAUUAUUAUUAGUGACAAUUUAAAUUAUUUGACUAAAGUUGAAUGAUCAAUAAGUUAUGUACACGUUUAAAAGUUGAAGUGUUUGAUGUUCAUACUUGUGGCCCUUCAGUUUUCAAUUGGACAAUAACUUCUAUGAGUUCUGUUUUUUUUUUGUUUUCUUGUUUUCAUUGUUCGUGAUCUGAUUAAAUUUAAAUAUGCAUAUUAUAUAAUAUAUUCUGAAAUGGGAUUUUAAAAAUGAUUGUCUUUCCAUUCUCGCGAAUUUAAAUUUAAAAUCUUUGAUUAAGAAUUAAAAAGUUUCAAAUACAAUUCCGACCAUCACAAUCCAUAUUGAUUACAAAGUUUCAAUAUUGCAAGGGUCCAAUUUAUUGAUUGAUACAUGUCCUAUUCUUAUCUCCAUAGUACCACUAACUUAAUAAUGAAUGGAUAACUCUAGAGCUCAAGUGAUUGAUUAGGAGAUGUUUUUGUUUAAAGUAAAAAAUAGUCGUUCACUCUUAAUUGUAAGUCUCGAAUUUUAAGUAUCACAAAUAAUUAUAAAUCUCGAAUUUAAAUUUAUCGCUUUUAUUAAUCAAAUGAAUAUAUAAUUCUAGAGCUUAAGUAAUAGCGUUCUGAUUGGGAAUUUCUUUUUUUCAUUUUACAUCCGAUAUUUAAUAUUUAUAUUAAAAUUCGACUAAAUUUAGAUUUGUGUAGAAAGUCCUAUAUCGAGGGUAAAAUGAUCUCUAUCCAAAGUGACUUUAUAUUAGGGCUCGAAUAUAUAAUUUGUGUUAAGAAAGAAUAAAUAUGUAUCACUUCAUUACUAUGAGUCUAUCAUUUAUAGUUUGAUUAGGAUUUUUUUUAAUGACAGUGGAACACGAAAAGUUGUGGUUGGGUGAUAGGUAUCUUUCCAUUCGUAAUAAAAAAAAUUAUGUAUUUGAUCUUGAAAAUGAAAUCAUCUUUAUUAGAGAGCACUUUACCUCUAAAAUAAAUACCGAACACUUAGUUGGAAAAAAAAGGCAGGAGAUAACAUCACUCCUUUACCUUACUUAUUUUCUUAUUUUUCCUCCUAUUAAAAGUUCAAGCAAACGUUUAUAUUACAAAUGAAGUUGUCUUUAAUAAAAGAUAAUUCAUCUCUAAAAUGAAACAUUUCAAUAUAAAAAAAAUGAAUUAAUCAAAUCUCAAAAUGAAAACCGAAUAUCGAGUCAGGAAAAUUGGAUUAUACUUGGUCAGAAAGUGCUUGCCAUAUGGCAACAUACAUAUAUAUAGUGUAUACACCAUGACAAAAGUAGGUAAUGAUCUAUUAUUUGGAAAUAAUUUGCUCAUUUUUUAUUUUCUGAAAACUACUUUAGCGUAAAGAAAAUAUUUAUUAGAUUAUUUUUUGGCGUUUAGAUGAGUGUAAUGAAACAUGACUAAGCCAUAGAAUAAUAUAUAUUGUGAUAAUAGUUGGCUCAAUACAUAGUCAGCUUUUUAUAUUUGUUAAAACAUCUACUUUGUAUUUAAAACAUCUCAAUUCUUAAUAAAGUGCUUCAAUUAGAUAUUAUUAAUUUGAAUUUAUGAAAAAAAUUGCACGUAUAUUAAUUCAUCUUUUAGGCAAGUAGAUAAAUUAAUCAUAUAAUAGUGUAAUUUGUUUUAUUUAUAUGCAUCAAUCUUAACUAGAAAAUGUCUAGAAUUUUAUUGUUUUGACAAAUGUAUUUAAUUAAUGAGAUAAUAUAUUUUAGUUAAUUCAGAAUUCGAAUUUAAAAUGUCUAAUUAGAACUAAAUAUCACACAAUUUUCAUCCCUUUUGCACAACUUACUAAAAUUAUGCAUAAUGACAAUGAUUUUGGGUAAUUUAUGAUGCACGUUUGCACAUAAAUUCAUGAUCUUUUUAUCAAAUUACAUAUUUUAUGUACAUAUUUUUUUUAAAAUUAAUCUAAUAUUAUCGGUUGGUAUUCUUGCUACAGAAAGACUAAAUGAUGUAUUAGUUGAAUGUUUUUAUUUAACUAGAUGAUUAAGAUCAAUUAUAUUUUCAUUUUUCUCCUUUUUAGUGGUGCACAAAUGUUAUGGAAGUCCUAAAUUCAUUUUCGCUAAGUUGAUGGAGCAGUUAAUCUCUAAAAUAGUACAAUUUAAAUUCAAAUUAUUUUGAAUGAUUUCUCGAUCAACCUUGUCACAUGAAACUUGCUUAAUGUAAUUUUAUCUCUCUUAUAAUUUGUAAUAACAAUUAAAAUUCGAUUUACUUUGAGUAGCGAUUGUGAAUUCUUUCGUCGACAACAACUACGAAUAAAAGGAGCACUUAUGUGAGCAAUAAAUUAACAUCAAAUUUAGGAAGGCUAGUCAAACAAAACUACUACAAUUAACAUCGUUUAAUUGCUGUUUAAGUUUACGUUAAAACUUUCAAAGCUCUAAAUAAUUAAACCAAGCAUUAAUCACAAUGGGCUAAAGUAAAUGUUCUUUCCAUUAAAUUAAUAAAAUUGCUAUACUUUUAUAAUUGGAAACACUAAAUUUCCGGUCUCAAUAAAAUUUAAUUACUUUUUUCAUAUUUGUUGUUUGUCAUUUUAAAUGUACUUUAAUUUGUUUUACAAAGUCUGAUUUGUUCGGUUGUUUUCCUAGUCUUUUUCUUAGGCUUACUUUAUUAUUUGUUAUCCUAAUCUUCUUAGUAGGCAUACUAUUAUUUCAUUUCAUUAUAUUAAUUAAUUUCGCUACUUGACGACUAAGUCUUUGUUGACUAUGUUUUUUAAUUUUAACUUUUAUUAUAACACACAUAUUUAUUAUAUUAAGUUUCAAAUACAAAUGUUAAAAAUCUUAUAGCUACAUUAAUUCUAUAACAUGUUAAGUCUUCGUAAAAUUUCAUGGCAAUUCAAACUAAAUAACAUUUAUAUCAAUUUAAUAAAUACAAAUUCAAGCAUUAUUAUAAACAAAUUGUCUGUAAAAAGUACAAUAAAAUGCAAUCUGUCAUUUUUAACAAUAUGUCAGUAUAGUCCCAUAAAAUAUUUUGUGAGGAAUAAACCUAGUCCUUCUCCUUACUUAGAAUUGUUAUUUUCGACAAAAUAGUUCCAAAAAAGUAACGAGAAAAAACUAUAAAUUUAAAGUUUAAACAAUAAAUAUAUACAUUAACAAGAACAAACUUUGAUUAUUAUUAUAUACUCUCAUGAAAUCAAUUCCAUGAUAACCAUAAAAAAACAACAAAAGAUAAAAAUAAAAAAUAAAAAAUAAAACACUGCCUUUCUAUCUAAUAAACCUCUCAGUAAUUCAAUGUACCAAGACCUUUUUUUCUUUUUUUUUUUAAAUAAACAAACUAUUUUUUAUUUUUUAUGUUUAAUUUAUUUAUUUUCCACUAAGCAGAAAUAAAAAUUAUUAUAGUAAAUAAAAUUGACACAAAAACAGCUGAAGUUGUAGUAAAUGCUUUUACUGCCGAGUUAUUUGAGCCGGUAGGUGCCGGAAUAUCCGCCGGCGGACUGUUUCCGCCGCCUCCUGGCGGUGAAUCCACCGGCGAUCCCGGCGUACUCGAUGAACUUGGAGACGAUGAUGAUGAACCACCCGAUGGAGAUGGUGAAAUUAUCUCCCCUGAUGGCGAUGAAGAAGGCGAUGUACUCGCCGGCGCCGGAGAAGUCGCCGGUGAUGUUGCCGGGGAAGUUGCCGGAGAAGUCGCCGGAGAUGUUGAUGGGGAUGUUGCCGGAGAAGUCGCCGGAGAUGUUGCGGGUGAUGAAGUAGGUGUUUGACUCACAGGAGAUGUUGCGGGUGAUACCGACGGAGAAGUCGCCGGAGAUUCUCCCGGAGUUGAAGGAGGAGGAGGUCUAAUGGCUAAAAUAACAGUAAUUAAUUUUUGUGAUCCAUUUUCACAAUCAUUUUUAUUUCCACUAAUGAAAAAAAAUGGACCAGAAUGAUCAAAUUUGAAAAUUGAAUUGCCAUCAUCCAUUUUCAUAAUUGGAUUAUUUGUGUUGCAUUUGUCAUAAUCAUCCUUGUUUACCACUAAUACUGAGUUUGAUCCCUUCAUGUACUUGAACACUAAUCACACACAAAAAAACAAAACAUAAAACACAAUCAAUAACAAAUAAGGUUAGGUAUCAUAUAACAAUCACUACUAGAUAUAGAUAUACAUGAAUUUUCGAUCAUCCUACUCUUAUCAUCGAUAUUAGAUAAAUUUCAAAUUUUCAAUGAAAAGUCAAAUUUCUUGUUUUUGUUAAAAAAAUUAAAAUUAGAAAUCCCAAGUUUUCGACAAAAAGACAAAUUUCUGAUAAUCGUUUCUAUUAGAACACCGUUUCUGAAGUCGUUUCGGUGGAAAACUCCAAAGGGACAUUUUCAUCGAAUGAUUUCAGAGAUCCUUGAUUUUUUUUAUCAAUAAUUUCAUUGAAAAUAUAUAUGUUUUCAUUAGUGAGUAUGAUUAUGUUUUUAAAAUGAGAUGAUUGUAUAGUUUAAGACAAAAGAAUAGUACUUACCAAGAGUGUCAUUGAUUUGAAAUCUCAUUCUUUCAGCCCAACUAUUGUAAUUUUCAGAUGGAUUAGGAACCCAACCAGCUUUACCACCAACAUAGAAUUGAUAAGCAUAACAAGAGUUGAUCAAACAAGCCAAGAGAAUCACUAUAAGAUGUUUAUGCAAAGCCAUGAAUAAUUAUAGCAAUUUAAAAAAAAUUAUAUGUUUUUUGUGAUAUAAGUAAAUUUAUAUAAAUACACAAAAAGAGGAGAAGAGUGAUAAGAAAAAGAAGAAAAAAAGGCAAAGUAGGAAAUUUCAAGAAAGAAUACAAAAAAAAAGAAAGAUAAUUAAAUGGAGGAAAUUAAGAGGAAGUUUUAUAGACUGAUGUUGAAGUUUAAGAAUGAAAUAGAGUUGUAUAUUAGUCUACAAUUUGGUUNNNNNNNNNNNNNNNNNNNNNNNNNNNNNNNNNNNNNNNNNNNNNNNNNNNNNNNNNNNNNNNNNNNNNNNNNNNNNNNNNNNNNNNNNNNNNNNNNNNNNNNNNNNNNNNNNNNNNNNNNNNNNNNNNNNNNNNNNNNNNNNNNNNNNNNNNNNNNNNNNNNNNNNNNNNNNNNNNNNNNNNNNNNNNNNNNNNNNNNNNNNNNNNNNNNNNNNNNNNNNNNNNNNNNNNNNNNNNNNNNNNNNNNNNNNNNNNNNNNNNNNNNNNNNNNNNNNNNNNNNNNNNNNNNNNNNNNNNNNNNNNNNNNNNNNNNNNNNNNNNNNNNNNNNNNNNNNNNNNNNNNNNNNNNNNNNNNNNNNNNNNNNNNNNNNNNNNNNNNNNNNNNNNNNNNNNNNNNNNNNNNNNNNNNNNNNNNNNNNNNNNNNNNNNNNNNNNNNNNNNNNNNNNNNNNNNNNNNNNNNNNNNNNNNNNNNNNNNNNNNNNNNNNNNNNNNNNNNNNNNNNNNNNNNNNNNNNNNNNNNNNNNNNNNNNNNNNNNNNNNNNNNNNNNNNNNNNNNNNNNNNNNNNNNNNNNNNNNNNNNNNNNNNNNNNNNNNNNNNNNNNNNNNNNNNNNNNNNNNNNNNNNNNNNNNNNNNNNNNNNNNNNNNNNNNNNNNNNNNNNNNNNNNNNNNNNNNNNNNNNNNNNNNNNNNNNGGGUGGGGGUGGGGGUGGGGUGGGAGUGGGGUGUUGAAGAGGAUGGGAAAUAAUUUUUGAAAAAUGAGUUUAUUGAAAAAAAAAAAACAAAAAAAGUGGGAAAAAUGUGUUUGAUUAUAUGGAGAGAUUGAGUUUAUCAUGUGAUGAUUGUGAUUCUUUCACUUUAUAUUAUAAGUUUCGUGUUUAAGCGUCUGAGAAUGAAAAAAGAUCUUAUUGAGCAUGUUGUUCCUAAAUAUUGGUCCUGCGGUGCACAAACUCAAAUUUAAUCCACUCUUAAUAUAGAUAUCAAACCGCUAAUGAAAAAAAAAACUAUUAAAAGAGGAAAAAACAAGACAAAAGUGUCAAUGGACUAUUAUAUAGUAUUUUACACGUGGAGAAAGGUUAAGGACAUAACGGUAAGUGUAUUUAAUUAAUUAAAUGGACUUAAUGUUUAAGAAAAGAGACAACAAUUUAAAAAGAAAAAAUAUGUUUGGUGACAAAAAUUAAUUGGGAAAAUGUGUUUAAUGAGAGAAAAAAAGGGACAAAAUUGUAGUUGAAAAAAGGUUUAGGACGUAACGGUUAGUGUGUGUAAUUAAUUAAAUGCAACGUAUUGCUUUUUUAGGCCAUCAUUUAAUUUUAUUUUUAUUUUAAAAAGUUAGACAAAUGUGUUCUUAGGAUAUUUUUCUGAAUGAAUAUAAUAUUUUUUUUUUCCAUAUAUUAUUCAAUCUUAUUGACAAAAUAUAGGUCUAGACUUUCAAUUUGUUCAAAUAACUUGCAUAUUGUAGACUAUCAUUUAACGUUUUUUAAUAUAAUUUUUUAUUUUCUUAAAAUGGAUAUUUAGAUCAUUAUCUAAAAGAGUCAUAAGUUUAAACAUAAAUAAAAAGAUUGUCAUUUACUAAAUAACUAGCUCAAAAAAGAGACAAUCGAUAAAUAUUUUUAUGAGAUACUGUAUUUAGAUCUUGCUAUUUAAACUAUAUCCAUUCUACUACGCAUCUACCCAUUUAGUAACAAUCUCAUAUACGGUGUAUGAAGUUAGGCAUAUGUGUAUGUAUAGAAUUCAGCCACAUAAAUCUGCAUUUAAUCACGACUGAAGUUCAGACAAAAAUAUUGAACUUUAGCAUUAUGUGCUCAAACUUUCAACCAUUUGAAACUUCAAAUUAAGCUUUUAUCAGAUAUAGUUGUUAAUACGUCUGAUUUCUCAAGUUAUUCUAUCGUGAAUGUAUUUACAAACUUUUACACACUACAUAUAUGACUUUAAUAGUGAUCCCAAAAUCAGAUAUCCCCGAAUAUACUUUUUAAGUUUCUUUCGGUUGGCCCAAUAGGUAGAGAUUAGUGAUGCAAAAGUACCUAUCAUCCUCAAUGAAUUAUUUUAGUGAUAUUAGAAAUGAUACACUAUCUAUUCUUUAUUUCAUUUAGGAGAAUAUUAUUGAUACGGAUAGAGUCAAAUAAUUUUUUCUUUGUGAGCAAUCAAUAAUAGAAUUGCUCCCCAAGGUGACCAAUAUUCUCCACGCUAUGAUUUUAGACACAAUAACUUUACAAGAAGUGUUACUAAAAAAGUACCUGACAUAGACGAUAUUAUUGCAAAUCAAAAAGAAAAGAACAAGAAGCAGUAUGAUAAAUUGAUUUCGCGUUCCCUUUACUUUAUCAUGGUAUCAAUGAGAAAAAACAUAAUUAUAAUACGGUAAUUCUGAUGGGUGGAGUGAUGACCAAUUUAUAAAGAUUUUAAUCACAGACAAAUUUUAUUAAUUAUCAAUUGUUUUAUUGGGCCACAUAAUAUAAGCCCAUUAGUGGCCCAAUAUGCUUAAGCUAAAAGUUCAUUUUCUCUAUUGCUCUUUGUUGAGUCUUCCAUUUUUUCCCAUUUGGUCAAUAAUGUUAGUAGCAAUAAGCCCAAAGCUUGGCAGGCUAGCCCACAUAUUGAGCCCAUCCAUAAACCCUGCAAUCAUAUAUUAAAAUUUUAAAUACAAAAAUAAUGUUUCGAUCAAUCAACUACAACUCAAUCUUAAUUCGUUGAGAUUACAUGAUAUUGAAAUUCAUAAGUAAUAAAUUAAAGCACCUAAGUGUUUGUGUAGACAAAUCAUAUAAUAUGAGAAGAGACUAACAAAGUUUACAUUCGAUGGUUUCAAUUGAACUCAGUAUUUACUCUCAAUAUGUGUUAUCAAAAAUAUCUCAACCAGAGUUUGUGGCGUAAUGCCUGAUUAUAUUAAGAGGUCUCUUAAACCAAUUUUAUAAAAAUUAUAUAAUAAUGAAACACGAAAGAACUUUGCCUUCUAAGUUAUGUAUGAUUCAGAAACGUGACAAACACAAAUGGCAAAUUUUUUGAGAAAAUUAAGUGAAAUCAAAUUGUAAAAUCGUUAGAAAUAUGAAAAAGAAAUGAAUGUAUAUAGAGGAGGAGAAAAUGGAAUUGAAAAAAUAAUAAUAAAAUUCUGAAUUCAUCCGUGGACGAAAAAUAAAACAUACCAACAUGGCAUGCAUUUGGAAUACCUGAGCAUGUAGGUUGAACUUAAAAGCAAGGAGCCAAGAUAUUGGCAUGCCAAUAAAAUAGAAUGUUGCCAAGUUGAUGAACAUAACCAAAUGUUGCCAUCCACAUCCCCUAGCCACCCCUGAUAAUCAAUUUCAAUUACAUUUUCUCUUUAGAUACAUAAACAAAUACUUAAAUUUAGUCUCAGUUGACAUGUAAAUACUCUAAUUUUGAGUAGGCACAUAGUCUAGAUAUCUCAACUUGUCUUCACUGUGUCAGUUGAACACUCCAACUUACAAAAUGAUCAUCUAGACACCUCCAAAAGUUAUAUGUGUACAUAAGUAUAGGGUGUCCACGAGACAUAAGAGGGCCGAGUUGGAGUGUUUAGUUGUCAGUUGAGACCAAUGAGGUAUCCAGAUGUGCACUCUCAAAAUUGGAGUGGUUACUUGCUAACCAAGGUCAAGUUUAAAUGUGUGUUCAGAAUGCACAAGUAUAAUAUUUUCUUUAACUGAAUAUAAAAUUUAAGAACCUGACCUAAUAAAAUUCCUUGAAAGAAAUCCAAUACAAAUGAGAUUAAGAGAAGUGGCAUCAUGGUGGCAAAUUCUUUUAUUAUUUCUGUACUAUCACUAAAGAGGCCAGCCCAUGCACUAUGACCAAAAAAUAGAGCCAAAUCAACAAUAAGAGCAAGAAGAACACAUAGCUUGAGAGUAACAACCAUAGCAUGCUUUGCUUUGUCAAUAUUUCCACCUCCUAACUCAUUUGCCACCCUAGUGCUGCACAUAUUGUACAAUAAUUAUACAUAGCAUAUUAGUUAAAAUUUGUAAAAUAACAAUAAUAAAGAUCAAGAUUAUCUAUUAUAUAUACUCCAUAAAAUAUAUAUUAUAGAUAAUAAAGUAAAAAUUUAAUCACCCAUAAAAGAAAUUGAGUCUCGAGAAAUAAUGAGAUCUGGUCGAUAUAUAAAACCUAUCUUUUUUUGGUCUAAUAUAGACACGUGUAUACACAUGAUAUACUUUAUACACAUGCCUGGCUAUACUAGACCAUGUGUAUGCACAUGAUCCUUAAGCACUCACUUAUGACCACUGCACUAAUUCACUACUUAUUACAUGAGUGCUCACUCUUUAAUUUUAUCCCAUUACUUCAAAUUUCUAUAUAAAUAUAGUUAGUUCGAUACGAGAUUAAUGGGUGCUUGAGCACCCAGAAAGGUCAACGUAGCUUCGUCCCUGUUAGGAGGAGGCGGGGCGGGAGGCGGUUAAAAUAAUAAAACUCUCACAUAAUUUGAGUUGUUGAAGCUCACACACCACAAAUAUGUGUAGUACAUUACCUUGCAGCUGCACUCAGACCAUAAGACACCAUGAAAGCAACAGCUUCGGUAUUUACACUGAAAAGUCACAAUCCAAAAGUUAGUGUUAGAAUUUUUGAUUCAGUUACUUCCUCGGUCUCAAUUUACGUGAUACUUUUCAAAUUUCGAGAUUUAAAUAAGUCUAUCUUUGAUCGUAAAUUUUGCAUAUAUCUUUUAAAUAUUUUGAAUUGUCAAUUGUUGUGACUUAUAGUACUUUUUACUAGUUUAUAAAUAUAUAAUUUCAUUUCCAAAAAUUUGAAGAUUCCAUGUGUAAUUUGCCGGUCAAAUUAAACUUAAACUGUUUGACUCUCGAAAAAUGAAAAGUGUUACAUAAAUUGGGACAAAGGGAGUAAAAAAGUGAAAAUGAAGUGGUUUAUAUAGCAGCAACAACAACAACAAUAAUAACAACAAUAUAUGUCGUGUGAUGUUAUAAGUGAGGUCUAAAAAAGGUAAUGUGUACGUAGCCAAAGGGCAAAUUUAAAGAAGGGUGGAAUGUUCACUCGAACCCCUUUUAAAUUGUAUAUAUGAGGUAAAACUUUUAUUUUUUAUUGAUGUAUAAAGAUUUUGAAUCUAUUGAACGUAAGACUAGAGGUUGGUUUUGUGAUUCAAGGGUUUAAAAUUCACCUUGAAUUUUCAAAAUCAAUUAUCUUAGGUACUACAUUUUUAUUGCAGGACCAAAAGUUUACUUUGUUAUUGAGUUCCCAACACAUAUAUAAAUACUAGGUCUGUGUAAGUAUUAUUGGGUUCGCCUUGGAACCCGUAUCCAAACCCCUAAAUUUGCCCCUUCUCUUAUCAAAAUAGAGAGGCGAUUUCGAAAGAUGUUCAGCUUAAGUAAAUCAAUUCAAAACAAAUUUGAAAAGAAAAUAUGUAUCAAGAAACACAAGAGCAUAAUUACCUCAUUGCAAUUAGGGAAGUAGUUGUUUCUGAGUUUGGCAUCAAACCAGCAGAUAACACAAAAAACUCAUGAUCCCAGUAUUCCAAACUGCAUGUAUACAUCAAAUCAAAAGAACAUAGGAUCAAGUCAAACCCUUGACCUGUCUAAAUUAUUAUAUAAUUCAUAUCUCGUUCGUUUGGUAAAAAAGAGAAAGAGAAAAAUCAAAUAGUCAACUAAUUUGAUAGUAGACAUUUAGAUCACUUACAAUACACGAACUCUAAUAAAAGGAAAGGAUUGUGUUAGAAGUGUUUCCAACAUAAUAAAGUACAUUAUAUUUUAUAAUACAAGCUUAUAAUAUAAGGAUUGACCACUUACAUUAUAUCCUCGAAGACGUACCAUAUAAGUAGACCACAACCCAUAUUAUAUAACAAAAUUAGCUUACCAUAUCAUGGCAGCAGAGGGCAAAGACAACUUCAAGUUUGUAAAGAUAUGAUGAAACGACACGAAAGAGAGACCUUCCCUCCAGAUUUGACUGAACUUCUUCUUCGAACAAAGAAUGUAUACCACCAACAUGAGGACUGAAAUCCAAAUCGAAAUCGAAGCUGCUAAUGGUGCUCCUUUGAAACCAAGACUUGUCCAAUAAACAAGGCAAUAUGUAAUGCCAAUGUGUAAAACUAAAGAUGCCAUUGAACACACAACAAGAGGCAUGACAAUUGAUUGUGAUUGAAGAAAUACUAAAAUGUUUUGCAAGAAACCAUAUGCAAAUAAUCCAGGUAUGAGGAAUUUCAAGAACACACUAGCUUCUUUUGCUAUGUCAGGAUCUUGAUGAAGUAAAAUGAGAAUUUUAUCAGAAUACCACCAACUAAUAGCAAUUAUUGUAGAAAAUAUGAAUGAUAUGAUGCAUGAUAUUUGAAGAUGUAUCCCCAACAUCUUGUACAUUUUAGCUCCAUAUCCUUGGCCACAUAAUGUCUCAAGUCCACCACUAAUGCCAACCUAUGUUACCAAGAUAAAGAAAGUAACAAAUAAUAGUUAAAUUAAAGAACAACAUAUUAUACAAAUGAGAAAAGGAGGCUAGCUCCUUUCCUCUUCUUUGAAAAAGUACUAUAACACACAACUAUAUAUGCUAGUCUUUUACUUUUAUUUUUUAUAUUCAAACCUUUCUAUCUAAAGUAAUGUUCUCAAUAAGUUGGAAAUAUGUCAUGUCUUGUCUUGUCUUGUCUGAUCAUCGAUCUCCCCUCUUUAUUCUUCUUCAUCCUAUCUCUACCUCUCAUAAAACCUGAUAUAGCCAAGGUAUAAGUACUCUCACGCCUCUGCACUAAGGAUAAUUAUAAUUGAGGUAGCUUUCAGAGAAUUAUAAGGUGAGAGUGGUUUAAUUUCAGUGGAGGAUAAAAUGCAGAAAGUGAGACUAAUUAAAAUGGUUCGAACAUGUGAAACGAUAUAUAUCUAUUAUUUCUUCUAGGCAAAAGUAUUCAUUACCCCCCUGAACUUGAAGUUUUUUAUUCGGUGUACACCUAAACUAUAUUCCGUUUUAAUUACCCCCCCCCCCCAAACUUGUUUAUUCCUCCAUCACGUACACCUUUUUUGUCCACCUGCUCCUAUUGUGACUACACACGCGUGACAGCUGGCAAAAGCGGUGAUGUGGAUUUCCACCUGGAUAAAUAAUAGCCACCUAGAUCAAUUAAUAUGGCAAAAUAUAAAUAUCAAACCUUCUCACAUUCUCACCUAAAACUUUUGGACUAAGCUUCUCACUAAAACUUUCGAACUUAAACCCGAAAAUCUUCAAGAAAUUAAUAUUUAGUACUGGAGAACUCACAUUAAAUGUCAACACAAGACUUUUAUUGUUGGAAAUAAAACAAAUUAAUUUUGGAUUUAAAAAAAUCCGUAGGGAUUGGGGUUGUUUCUGCAAAAGUAUCUUGAAGAAGAUGGGUUGUAGGGGAGGAUGCGGGGUUGUAGGGGAGGGGAUAGGGUGCUGCAAAAUAGAUUUUAAAAUAGUUAAAAUAAUUAGGUAAAAUGCAACAUGUCAUUUAUUCAUUGGAUAGUUUUUCUUAAAUUUAAAAUUCAUUGUUUAAAAGUUAUUUUUGAAUAAGGGCUGAUUUCGCGGAACUCCUUCUGGAUUUGGAUUUUUCUAGAUGUGAAGUUGGUCGAUUAAUUCAAAUUUGUCUGAAAUUCUUACCAAGUAAGUGUUAAUCUUUGUUUCCCUUACUUUUCAUUUACAUUUUCCCUUAUUUUUCGUUUAAAAUAUGUCAAAUAUUAAAGAAAAAUGGAGAUUUUACAAUUUUUUUACCGUUGUAGCUUUAUGAUGUGGCAAAAAAUCACUUCCUCACGCGCCUAGUAGAGUGUGUUGUCAAUUUCUACGCCAGGAGGACAAUAAAUUAAGGUGUACGCGAUGGAGGAAUAAACAAGUUCGGGGGGAUAAUUAAAACGAAAUAUAGUUUAGGUGUACACCGAAUAAAAAACUUCAAGUUCAGGGGGGUAAUGAAUAUUUUUGCCUUUCUUAUACUUCGAUUAUAGUAUUAUUUAUUUUCUUGUGUUUAUGUUCAACAUGUUUUGCUACACUUUCACACCAUUAUAAUCUAUCAUUUGGCCAUAAAUUUUAGAAAUUUAUCUUCAAAUAUUUGUUAUCCAUGAAAUGAUCAAAAUUUGAAAUUUUGGGGUUGUACUGUUUGGUUGGUAAAAAAAUUUGAUAAAUAUUUUUUCUAGGAAAAUAAAUUGCUUAAAAAUGAGAAAAAUGACUUCUACAAUAAAAGAAGGAAAAACAAAUUCUACAAGUGACAUUCCACAUUGUUUGUUUCCUUCCCACACGGCCAUACCUCCAAGUCUCCAACACACCUCAUCUUCACUCCCACUUUUUUUUUGCCCUACCGUUCUGUCUCUCACAAAGGAGAAAUGAGAUCUUCUAAGAACAACCUUGGUUUGGUGAAUUGAAGUUGUAUUAGCCCCCCUCCUCCACCAACCACACCUCGAUCAUUAGUUUUUGAAACUUGUAAAUAAAAUACAUAUCCGAACACAAUUUCAAAUUAUAAAAAAAAAUUGCAACUUUAUAAAAACUAAUUUUUUCGAUUUUUAUAAGGAGGAAAGAUUAGAUGCAUACCAUCAAAGAGAGACCAGUGACCUCAGCCCAUGAAUUACCAAGAUUUGAGGCAGCAAGUUCAAAUUUGCCAAGAUGACCAGCAAACAUGACAGACACAAGAUUGAUGAAGUAGAAACAACUAGUCACAACAAUCAUUGGCAAAGAGAACAAUAUUUGAUUCUUGGCUUCUUCAACAUCAAUUACCUUGCUAAUAAUAGUAAUCCACCAUUUGUUUGUCUCCAAUGAUGUUGAAGGCAACAUGGGACUUUUUAGACUAUUUGAUGAUGAACUAUCCAUAGCCAUAUUCUUGGGUUUCUUCUUAGUUGAUCACCAUUAUUACCAAUGAACUCCUCUUUAUAUAAAUUCAACAUGUAAUAAAUGUUUUAUGGUAUCAGUAUAUAUAAUUUAAGAUAUUUAGAGUAACAUAUUACUUAUUAUUCAUUUUAGGUUAUCAUACGGUUGUUUGGUUGGGAAUAAAUUAUCUCGAGAUAAGUUAUUCUAUCAUUAUUGUAAUAAAAAUAACUUUUAGCGGCAAUAAAUAUACACGUUAACAAAGAAUGCUAAAGCCUUACCGGCAUUAGUUAAUUUUUAUUGGAUCCAAUGUCGCUAUAGGCUUUACUGACACUUACAAAGAGUGCUAAUUGCAGCUAAAGAUACAUGUUUAGCGGCACAUUAAGUUAUUGCCACUAACUAAAUGCCGCUAAAGAUCAUUUUUGGUGUAGUGCAUGUAUAUGAGAUAACUUAUCCCAUCACUAAGGUAUAAAUGGUGUGACAAAUAAUCCCAAGACUACCUAAUACCUCCGACCAAACGCUAGAUAAGAUAGUCCUGAAUUUUAUCCCUUAGAUUAUUAUACCAUAUACCUCAUACCAAACGACCCCUAGAGUUUAAUUUAUGGCAUAUAUAGUUCAUAAACAUGUCAUUUAACUUGGCGUAGCUAACAUCUAUGUCAUUCUAUUUUGGGUGUUCACAAGUAGACACUUAAACUUGUAUAAAAUUCAACAAGUAGAACAUGUGUCCUACAUGGCAUAAUACACAUAGGACAUCAUGUAGGAUGCAAAUUUCGAUGUAGAACGUCACAUAUGAUACAUGUGUCUACUUGUUCAAUGUAACUUUAUACAAUUUAAAGUGCCUACUGAUGCCUUAUGCAUACCCAAAGUUAAAGGAUAUAAAUGCAUAUUGAUAUCAAGUUAAAGAGUAUAUUUAUGUAUUAUGCCUUAAUUUAUAUAUGUCAAUAUAGUAUUUAAUCAUGUAAAUACUAGUUAAAAAACUCAAGAGUUGAUCCUCAGUGGAAGCGAAUUUGCAAUAAUCAAGAUUGUCUGAGUCACCAUUCAUUGAUUAUUCUCACGACGUAGAUGAAUUUUCUUUGUCUACGAUCUAAAUAUUCAACAUUCAUUUUCUCUUUUAUGAAUCCUAAUCAUUAUAUUAUGGUACAAAAAUAAUCGUUUUCCGAAAAAAAAAUCAUAAUAAUGUGUUUAUACAUUAUAGUGAAUUAGUGAUGAGCUUAAUAGCAAGAGUUGAUGGUCUAAUAAUGAGCUAAAGCCUAAAGGACAAUAUUAUUAUGAAUCCUAAUCAUUAUAUUAUGGUAGAAAAAUAAUCUUUUUCAGAUUUUUUUUCCUUCAUAAUAAUGUGUAUACAUUAUAAUGAAUUAGUGAUGGGCUUAAUAGAAAGAGUUGAUGGUCUAAUAAUGAGCUAAAAGACAAUAUUAUGGGUGUGGGCCCGACCCUUAUUAAACCGAUAUGUACAUUUUUUUUUAUAGAUUUGACAUUUACGUGAUUUAGCAUGCAACUUGCCUUAUUUUAUAAAAAUACAAGCUUUUUAUGGCAAGUCUUAACAAAUGAUAUAUCUUAUUUUUAAAUCUACAAAUCAUAUAUUUUAUGAACAGUUACUUGUAGAUAUUUUGUAGGCAACUUAAUAAUUGUAAUAAAUCCUUUACAAUGUCGAACAUGGGGAGGGGCCGAUGGAGGAGGAGACAGUGUACAUCCGAAAUCUUCGAUACAAAAAAAUUAUACUGUACAUAUGAAGUAUUUCAAAUAUUACAUUUUUAUUUAUCGAAUCUCUCAAUGAAAAUUUUGAAUUCGCCAGUAAAUGUGUAUAUAGUUAAACUCAUUAUUAAAUAGGAUUAAGCUAUUAUAUAUGCAUUAGAGUAAGGAUUAUUUGUAAUUAUCAAUGUUGUUUAACCUGUGAUAAUAUGUCAGCCAUCAUUUUAUCCAGAGGCGUAUCUAAGGGAGGGUCACCGGGUUCACGUGAACCCAUGGUCCCCUCCCGAGAUCAUAUAUAGUAGUGUUAUAUUUUAAAAAAAUAUUGAAAUAUAGAUGUGUGAACCCACACUUGAAGUAUCACAUAAUGCGAUUAUGAUUGGGUGCACCUCUCUCCGCGAGGUUAGAAAUUUGAAUUUUUAUAUUUAUCUUAUUUUAUUUUUCUUUCUAAAAUUAGAUAACACUUCUCUAAGUGGUAAUGGCAAUAUAUAUAUAUGAAUUAAUUUUAGACCUAUAAUUUUAAAAUUUUAACGGUUUUCAGUAAAUUAAAAACCAAAAUGUCGAACCGAUCAAAUUUAUAUCAUAAAUCAAUUUUUUUAUAACAGUGCACCCAUCAUCUCAAAAUUCUGGAUACGCCUUUGAUUUUAUGUGGCAACCAAUUAUCAUUUAUCAUAGAAAUUUAUGUGUAAUUACUUAAAAGUUAUAUGAUUGUGUAUAUUAUUUGUAUACAACUAGUACAUAAAAUUAAAACUCGUAAAAUUCCAUGCAAUUAAUUUUUAAGCAAGCAAAUUAUACAAAUAUGUUGACACUAUCGUGAAAUCACAUGUAAUUACUUCUUAAAUAACUUAUAUUUCAAAAAUAAAUAAAUUAUGCGACACAAUAAACAUAGCAUGUAUAUUUACUCAAAAUAAUUUCAUUUCAACAAAAAAUAUUAUGAUACACGAGAGUUUGGAUAUUAUAUAUAUAGCAAAUGCACACAAUAUACAUAUCUCUUUAUUUUAAGUUUGAAUUAUAAGUGUAUCUCGUACAAACAAUGACAUACAAAUAAUUUUUUAUGAUGAUUGAAAUUCAUUUCUAGUGAUAACAUGUAUGUGUCAUACAUUAAAGAUUCAGUAAUACAUUAUAUACACUGCAUUUUGAAAUCAAAUAAUGCUACAUUUUCAUCAAACCAUAUGGGAACACUUCAUAUUCCUUUUUAUUUCACAUUUAUUUUUGAGAAUUUUACACAAAUCUCAUAGUGUUAAGAGCUAAUUACAUGAUAUCCAUAUUCAUUCCAAAUUACUAAAAUCACUUAAAUUUGGUGAAAUCCGGAUCCACCCAAAAUGUCUCGAUACACUGUGUUUCGAUUUCGGAUACAUCCCUCAACACCCAAUACAUCGCGGCUCGAUUUCAUAUACAUCACUCAACGUCCUUGAUUUCAUAUACCAUUCAACGUCCUCGAUACAUCACGUACGUCUUGAUACAUCGCGUACAAUGAUGUAUCCGACCGAUACAUUGCGUUAAGUGAUGUAUCUGACUGAUUCAUCGCGUAAUGUGAUGUACCUGAAAAUAGGAAAUGAGGGAUUCUCGUAAUUUUUUCAAAUGAUAGGAAAUUUUAGAGAAUAUAAUAAAAUAAGUUGUGUAUUUAGAUAAUUUUUUCUAGACCCAAUAACUAUAUAUCUCUAUAUAAAAAUUGUACAAAAUUAAUUAAAUUCAUUCUCUUAGUGAGGCCCAACCUAGUUGUUGUAGUAGUCCUUGAAUGCAUGAUGCUGACAACUCACAAAAAUGGUCAAGACUUUCAUAGUCACCAUCCACAACGGUUCACCACGUCGUUUAUUAAUAAAUGAUAUCGGGUGAAGUGCAUGAAUACUUGAUUUUGAUAUCACCAUGUAAAUCAUAUUAUUUGCAAAUUUUUACUUUAAUUUGAAAUAACGUUAUAUGUUCGGUGUUUGGAGUUAGGAUCGGUGAUAAAUUCAAAUUUUUAACAAUACAUGACUAAAGUUGAAAUUGUUUUUUUUAUUUUUUAUGUUCAGACAUAAAUGUUUGAAGUUCAAUUAUUUUUAUUUGAACUUAGUCAUAUGCGACUGAAUUUAGUUAUUUUAACCUAAAUAACUUUUUAUUCUGAUCAAGUUCAUGCACAUGAUAUGGUCAAAGUUUAAUUAUUUUUUUCUAAAUUUUAAUCAUAUGAAACGUCAGACACUAUAUAUAUGAAAUUAUUGUGUCAAUGCACAUCAACACCACGUAAAAAAAUAUAUUUAAUUUAUUAUUUUUUAAUUUUCUUUUUGUUUAUUAUUAAAAGACGUCUUUUUGUACCAUAUUUAUAAAACAUCAAAUAAUGAAGAAAGCUGCAUCAAAUAUUUAGUUCUAAUAUAGGCACAAACCUUAUUGCUGAAAGGUGUGGAUCUUGAGGGUAUAACUGAAGAUGCCAUUAUUAAAAGAAAUUAGCUUCAAUUUUUGGUUGUCAUUGUUGAAAAAAAUUAGCUUCGAUUUUAAUUAUGACUAUCACUAUUGAAUAAAAUUAAUUUGAAUUUAAGGACAAUAAUGAUAAACUUCGAUGGGGGCUUUGAAGAAGGAAGUGUACGUGUGAGUGUGUUUUGGAGAGCAAAAAGGUGAGAGCUCCUAAAGGGAAGGGUAAAAAAUAUAGCAGAACAAUACUGUAGCAAAAUAAUAUUAUAAUUAAACUACACAAAACAAAUAAUAACAUAAACCGAAGAACAUAGGAACUACGAAUUAAUAAUUGCCACUAAAAAAGAAGUACAGUUUCAAUCUCCAACAAAAUGAUAACUUGGAGGAUUUUCUACACGUUUUUCUUCUUGAUGAUUCAUAAUUUUAAUUAUACAUAAAAAGAGGAAAGAGAGAGGGGUAGUUGUAUGAGUAGUAAUUGGUGAUUUUCAAUUUUGAUAAAAAAAUAAAUAAAAAUAUCAUGAUAAAUAUAAAUAUUAAAAUAACCUGUGGUCCUAAUAAUACCUCACAGUACAAUUUUCACAUUUUUAUUGGAAUAUAUUUGAAUACAAGUAUAAAAUAAAUCUUUUAAUGAUUCGUUAGUACAUAAUUUCUUAAAAUAAUAUUUAGUUAUACAUUGGAAUUUUUUUGUUUAAGACAAGUUUUGUAUUUGAAAAAGUGGUUUUUUGAUUGUGAUCUUUUUUUAGUUCACAACAUUUUAAUUUUCUAUUUUUCUUUUUUCUAAGUUAAAUAAAUGUCUAAACAUAACUUUAAUUUUUCAUUUCUUUAAAACAAAUCACAUUUUUAUGUCUAAACACCUUAUUAAGUUAUUUAACUAUAAUUAAUUUAUUUAUUUAAUUUGAUAUAAAUUGUGGUGUGAUAAUAUACCCCUAGCAAGUCGGUCCUUUUUAAAAAAAUACUAUGUAUCAGAAAUUAUUAUGUUUUGGUGAAUCGUACUUUCUAUGAUAAGAAGUAUAAAAAAUACAAUUGUUAAAUUUUAUUGAGCUUGAUUUAUAAUUUUGGUUAAAUGAAUUAAAUAUGUCUAUUACUCCUAUUAAGAAAAAUGAGGUUUUAAUGACAUGAUAGACCAACUAGGAGAGAAUGAGACUUUUGAAGUCUUUUAAUAUUUCUUGAGGGAAAAAUAAUGAUAAUUAAGUGAUAUUUUUAUUUUAAUUAAAAUAAAAAUAAUAUUUAAAGACAAUUCUCAAAACUCGAGUAACCGAAAAUUAACUCCAAUAGCAAACAAUCCCACCAAUGGCCCAAUAAGCAAGUGAUUCUCAUGGAUUCAUGCUUAAGGUAGAAGUUCAUUUUCACUAUUGCUCUUUGUUGAGGCCUCUACUUUUUCCCAUU